GAGACAGAAAAAAUAUACUUUAGGUGAUUUUCAAGCCAAUAGCACAUAGAGCCUGCAGGUGACUAGGUCAAAGAAUGGGACACCGCAGUUUUGGAACUCCGUUACGGAGCUCGUCAGUCUCCCUCUGAGCUCUUUCAAGUUUCUCUCUAAGCUUAAAAAUUUCUUCAUUUGACUUCAUCUGAGCUAAUUGUGCAGCCCCUUCUGCCUUUAAUCGAGCAAGAUGCUCCUCUGCCAAUUGCUGUUCGAGCCUAGUUAUUGUCUCUUUGAGCUUAGACUCAACCUAUCAAAAAAGCAUCAAUAUCAGCCAGAAAACAUGCCACUAAGCCCUGGAGUAGCAGCCUAAUACAAAAAAAGAUUGGGUGGUGGUAAUAUAAAACUCCAACUUAAGAGAAGAAAAUUCUUAAGUGUUAAUUUAGUUUAAUCCAAUUGCAAAGGGAGUUGCUAAGUUCACCAUACUUGGCAAAACUUUCUUACGUCAAUCAAUUCCACUCUUUCAUUCAUUGAUAAAUGGUUGAAACAAAAACUUAAAAAAAUAAACAGAUAAACUCAAAAUAUAAGGCAUUAAAGAAUCUCUAAACUUUUCAUUUUGCCACACUUCAGGAAUGUGGAGAGUGAAAUGUAUUAACACCUCAGACAUAUAGUUAUUACACAGAAUGUUACAGCAAAUCUAGAUUAUUGUUGAAUAGGAUCAGGCUUAAUGCCGGAUCAUUCUACUGCCUUGCUAUAAAUUAAAACUGUGGAAAGGAAAAUCAAAACUACGCAGCUUUUUUAUUAGGUUCCAUGUGCCUAACUAUAUUUUUCAUAAAAAAUUAUUUUGAAUGUGGCUAUUCAGUAUUUAACAAAUUUAGAAUAUGACAUAACUUGCUUAUAAGUUAUAACAUUUCAAUUGUUCCCACAGAUUCAGGAGUGCAUAAUUCCUUGCAACAAAACAGGAUCUACAGUAUUACAAGAAAUGUUCUAAAGAUUGAUGACUAAACAAGUGCAGAAUCCAUUCCUAAGUGCAAGUCAUGAUGAGUAAACAAAACAGAAUCAGUGAACAAUCAUUAGAACAUUUCAUCAAGAAACACUUAAUUUCAUCAAGAAACAAAACAGAACACGACAGUCAAACAAUCUUCAAGGUAAGAACAACAUGUUACAGCCAUCAAAACACAAUCAGUGAACAGAUAACUUAAUAACAGAUUUGUCCACAUCAACUAUCAAGAUAAGGCCUCUUUACAGAUGGCAAUCUCCAACAAUCUAGGGGUAAGGACACAGCGGCAGUCUUUACCACCUCCAAGUCUCACAAUUUAUAAUAUCAUUACAGGUACCUGCACGCUUUAUAGGUAUUUUUUAAUUACACAGUUUUAGCAAUGAUUACCCGAUCUGAGAAAUGAACGCAUAUGCAUGUCAUAUUUUGAUGUCAAAACAAGGACCAUAAAAAAUACCAUCUCAAUACGUCGUUUGAGUUGAUCUUCAUAUGAUUUUUUCAUCUGCUCCUUCAGCUCUGAAAUUUCUCGUUUUGAAUAUCCCUUGAGAGAAUUAACCUCAACUUGUUGAUCACGGAGUUUAGUAGCCCCUUUCUGAGUAGAAAAAAAGAAAAAGAGACAUUGUCAUGACAUAUUCAGAAUGAAGCAGCACAGAAGUCUAUCACGAUAGUAAUGAAGACACCUUCAACUCAGCAAAGAUUUCGUCUGUAUAUGGUUGCCCACCAUUCUGCAAGAUCACAGAGUUAACCAGAGAAAGAAGCUUCCCAACCUGCUCAGUUCUCUUCGCCGCAUCCUUGGUCUUGUUAUCAAAAAGCACGCGCCUAUUAUCGCAUAGUUGAAUGAUUUCCUAAAAGAAUGGAAAAAUGAUCAGCUGACAAAAUUUGUUUUUAUUGUGAUCGUUAGUACUUAAUAUCAUGGGAUCCUCAAAAACUAUUUAAGGGCAAGCCAUAAUAAAAUUUUAAUAAUCAAUUCCAUUCUCCUUAUGGUUUGACAACUUACAAUAACCUUUUACAUCCAUCAAAUUUAAAGAUCCUAAAAGGUGAUCAGCAUUCCGUAUAACAGAAAAUAAUAAUAAUAAUAAUAGUCUGCAUAAAUUCCAGUGAAAAGCACUGACCCAAUCAAAAUUAGUGGCUACAAAGCAGUAGCUGCCUCUUCACUAGGCAAAUUCUUACAUUAUAUUCAUACUAAACUUCCAAUAGUCCAACCUUAAAGGAGUCCAAAACUUCAGAAAAGAACCAAAUAAAGAUAACUUGAUCAAAAUGACUAAUGAAAUUAUCGAAAACUAUUGCCUUUCAGAAACAAACCUUUAAAGGCUUUGGACACUCAGGACCCAAGUAAUCUUCUAAUGUUUCGUCAUUAUCUUCAAGUUCAUCCCCUCCAGUGAAAACAACAAUCAUAUAGUCAAAAACUUUUUUCCCGAACAAGGACUCCAAACUGUGUAUUGCAGCUCCUUCCUCUUCAGAAAAACGGUUUCUAACAGAGAAAACUAGAAGGACUGCAUGGAUCCCAUCCUUGGCCAUACCAAUACAUUUGACAAUUUCCUUGCUGACAAACUCAGACUCAGCGGAAGAAUCAAAAAGUCCUACAAUGGCUCAUAACAUCAAUCUACUUACCACUACAACAUCAACAAGCAUGGAAUGGAAUAUCUGGGCACCAACAUUAGUAAAUUACCAGGAGUAUCAAUGACAUUAACAACUUGGCCAUCUUUGAGCAUGGUUCUCUGCAUUUCACAAGUUUUAGUAACCCCAGACGAGCCAGCCUUCGACUUGAAGGCUCUUCUUCCGAGAAUACUAUUGCCCGUCGCACUUUUGCCAUUGCCAGUACGGCCAACUAAAACCAAAGUGCGCUCCGCAUUAGAUGGAGAAGUAGGCAUCGAAUCGACAUCAAUCACUCUUCCUCCCAUCAUAAAAAAGAUUUCAAUUUACCUGCAAUGCAUUUACAAUAUCAAACCACUUCACUUUGAAUUCAGUUUUUACCAUUAAACAAUAAGAAACAAAAUUUAGUUACCAUACCCUUACAAUUUCACUCCAUUAAAACCUAUAUUUGUUAUUACUUUAAAUAUUAUCCAACCGAACAUGAAUAAAUUCAUUAAAAAAAUUAAAAAUAAAAAUCAUUCUGACCCCGACAAUAUAGUUAAAUUUAUAAUCUUAAUAAAAAUAUGAUGAAUUGAUAUAUAAUCAAGCACAUAAUCUAAACAGCAUCAGUUAAUUAAUUAAUUGUGUUGAUAUAUAUUUUAAUUUAAUUCUGCUUGUUUUAUGAAAUUAUUGGAAAAAAAAAUGACGACGAUCAAUUAUGCACAGUAGCAAACUUAGGGGGGCUUAGUUAAAAAAAUUAUUUAAUUUGGGUUUUUUUUAAAUAUUCACACAAAUACAUUUUAAGUCUCAUAAACUCAAAUUUCAUUACUUUCUUUUAAAUUUUAAAUAAUAAUAGUAAUAAACAAUUUUUUUAAAUUCAUGAAAGUAUCAUUUUUCUAAGUAGUUUUCGCAAAAUAUUUAAAAAUAAAUAAAAUAAUGUGGCUAUUGAGAUUUGAAUCUGGACUUUAAAACUAUUAAAUAACACUCUUACCAUUGAACUAUAAGUUUUUUGUUACAUGAAAAAUGUGUCUAAAUUUUUUUUAUUUAAUUCUUUUAGAAAGGGCUUGGAGUAUAUUUAAAACAAAAAUUAAUGGCCCAGAAGGGCCUGAACCCCCUCCUAGGCCUUAAUUGGGUCUCCCAUGAUUAUGCAUUACAUCCAAUAAAAUUUACAAACCGAGGUAAAGAAAAUCAAGUCUAUAAUAAAAAAAAAAAAAAGAAAUUGAGAUUGAGAGGAAAAGGCAAGGGCAAUUUGGAGAAAGCAAAGUAUGAAAACAAACCGUGAGAUGAUGCGAUGAACUGAGAUUUUACUUACUUGCGAAGAGAGGAGAGCUAAAAAGAUUGUGUUGCGUAUGCAAAGAUGAGAAAGGGGAAGAGACUUGACUUAAAUUUUAGGAUUUAAGGUAUGAAAAUUAUAAAUUGAAUAAUGAAUGUAAUAGAAAGUUGAGAAGUACAGGAUGUAAGAGAGUUUAAAUAGAAAGUUGAGAAGUAAAGAAUCUAAAAGAGUUUGAAGAAAAGAAUUUAAAAGAGAUAAAAUAGAAAGUUGAGAAGUAAAAAAUGUAAGAAAGUUGAGAAGUAAAGAAUGUAAGAGAGUUUAAAUAGAAAGUUGAGAAGAAAAGAAUCUAAAAGAAGAAUGAACAUGCAAUUUAUCUCUUUUACCUUUCAUUAUUUGUCACUUUUAUUAUUAAGGAGGUUGAUAAUUUUUUUCUAUUGGAACUAAUAUAUAUCAUUUAUUUCUUAUUAAUUUUAUAAUACCUAAAAACUCUCUUGUCACCAAAAACUUUAAAACAAAAGAGGGGUAAAUGAGUUAUUUUCUUAAUAACUUAUCUUGGGGCUAUAAUAUGUGCAUUCAUUAUAAGAAAAAUAUUUAAAAAUAACAAAAAGUACAAGAAAAUAUUUGUUAAUUAAUUUUUUAUUUAAAUUGAAACAUAUUUAUUUUUUAUUUUUAGUACUUAAAUUUUUUAUUUUAAUUCGUAUUUAUAUAAUUCAUUUAAGUUAUAAUAAAUAUGAAUAAAAUUUUAUUUAAAAAUAAGAAUAAUAUUAUAAAAUUACAUAAUUAAAAAUUAUUGACUAUUAUUAAAACAAUACUAAAGUAAUUAGUAAAUAUUGAUUUGAAUAGAGGAAAAUUGACGACCUCCCAUUAUUAUUAUUAUGGAUACUCCUUUAUUAAAUUAGCGUAUUUGAUUAACACUAAAAAGUGUACGUGUAAUAAGGAUAAAAAUUUUAGUUUUUCACUUAAAGUGUUGAUUAAUGCGCGCAUAACUUAUAAAUUAUAUGAAUGCUCCUGCUCCCUAAAUAAAUUUUUGUGUUAAAUUAAUUCGCAAUAUGUUAAUUUUUAUCUUAUGAAUAUUUUUCAGGAAUAAAUUGGAAUUGAAAGCGGGAAUAAAAAAGGACUCCUAGAGCAAUUUGGAAGCAUUAUUGAGGAGAUGUAAAUAAAUAAAUAAAAUAAAAAAUAAAAACGAAUAAAAAAUUAUAAGAAUGAAAAAAGAACAAAAACCAAGCAAUUUGGUUUCUCGUGAUGGUCAAGUGGCCAUCAUAGCCACUUGACCAUUACACAUUUCAAUGUACAUAUAUAUAUAUAUAUAAUAAUAAUAAUAAUAAUAAUAAUAAUAAAAAAAAAAAAUAAAGAUAAUGCAUUCCUUGCCUAUAAAAGGGUAAGGAAAUGCAGGGAGAAGCCAGUAGAGGAGGGAGCCGAGUUCUGAGAGAGAGUGAUAGCUAAGGGUGUAGUUGAAGAAUUUCUUUCUUUGUUUGUUUCUUUGUAAUAUAUUUCCAAAAGUUUAUCAAAUAAAAAGAGUGUUGUAUUUUCUUUUAAUAUGUGUGGCUAAUUUUAUUAAGCUGAGGUGAAGGGUGAAGCUCAAUGUCAUGACCCAACCCAGACCUGGCAAGAUAUUGUCUGCUUUGGGCCUUAACAAGACCCGCACGGAUUUGUUCUUGGGGCGCCCAUACACCCCAAAACGCAUCUUGCCAAUUAAGGUAUGGAUCACCCCUUAUAAACCCAGCAUCUCUCCCGUGCUUUGUCGAUGUUGGAUUCGCCUAGGGUGUUACAUACACCCCCCCUUGGGGACUCAGCGUCCUCACUGAGGUUUGCCCCACCAUCGCUCAAGAGGAUACGCGGAGCCGCUCUGAUACCGUAAUGUCAUGACUCAACCCAGACCUGGCAAGAUAUUGUCCGCUUUGGGCCUUAACAAGGCCCGCACGGAUUUGCUCUUGGGGCGCCCAUACACCCCAAAAUGCAUCUUGCCAAUUAAGGUGUGGAUCACCCCUUAUAAACCCAUCAUCUCUCCCGUGCUUUGCCGAUGUGGGAUUCGCCUAAGUUGUUACACUCAAUGUUUCAAACUAUUAAUUAUUAUUAUUUUCUCAAAUGAGUUUUUAAGUUUGUUUUAUUCUUUUCUAGCUAUUUUUAUGUCAUGUUAAUUUAUAAAUUUCUUUGGAUCUAUAUGGUAUUUUGACAUAAUGUCUACACAUUAACAUAGUGUGGCACAUUAGGUACUUUAUUCCAUAUUUAUCCACACACAGAGAAUUAAAUGAUAUAAUAAUUAACUGGUAAAAGUGAGGCAAAAUAUAAAUGAGAGAGUAUUAAAAUUAUAAUUUGAAUAUUGAGAGUGGAUCCCGUAACCUUAGCAUAUUUUUAAAUUGUUUUCAAAUAAUUUAUUUUCCCCACAAUUAAUUUUCUUUGUUUAACAAAUUGACAACUAGAUUUUAAAAUUUUCUGUGGUUCAACCCCGAACUCACCGGGUUAUAUUAUAACUACACACUCUUAUACUUAGGAGUAAUAUAUUUUUGAGUCAUGUCAAGUUUUUAGCGUCGUUGCCGGGGAGUUUUCUAAAUUUGGUGUUAGUUUGUCUUUACUUUUUUUUUUUCGCAAAAUAUUUUAGUUUGUCUUUAGUUUGUCUUAUCUUUUCGCAAAACUUCAGUUAGCACCCCUCCUCUUUUCAAACUUUAACAUUAUCUAUAAAUUUGUGAGAAACUUCAUUUUAGCCUAGAAACCUUUGCAAAUCAGUCCCCAAAUCAAAUUUAUUUCUUUAAAUUUCUGCAAUUUACUUUACGCAUUUAUUUUAAAUGGUCGGUUCUACCGCCUAACUGUUAUUUAAAUUUUGUUAAUUUAUGUAUUUUUAUUUAUAUGGUCGGUUCUACCACCUAUCAUUUUAAUUUCAGUUUAUUUAUUCUUGUACAUUAAUUUAUUUAAUUUUAUAUUUUAUUAUAUGGCUAGUUUUAAAUUACCACAUCAAUUGUUUCUUUUAAUUUCUUUGUUUAUGGCUGGUUUCACCGCCUAAUUUAUUUAUUUUAUUUAUUUUCAGUUUGUUUAUUUUUAUUUUUUAUUUUUACUUAUUUAAUUUCCAGUUUAUUUUUAUUUUUUACAAUUUUCAUUAAGCGUUUUAUGCAUCAUUGGUUUAGCACACAUCAUUAGCAUUGCAUGCGUCGUUGGUCUCAUACAAAUAGUGGUAGAUUAAUUAGAAGAUCACCUUCACCACCCUUAGAUAUGGCUGACAUAGGAGCUGAAAUUUUUUCGGAGCAUGAAAAUGACCAAGCCUUGCAAAAUCUUCAUGAACAGCCUAGGACUCUUAGAGACUUCAUGCAUCCUACUAGAACAGGGUCACCUCCAUGCAUAGUUUUCCUUCUUGAUGCAUCACGUUUUAAUUUCAAACUUGGUAUCAUUCAACUUGUUCCUACUUUUCAUGGUUUUGAGUCUGAAAAUCCAUAUUUGCAUUUAAGGGAAUUUGAGGAAGUCUGUAACACAUGUACUGAUCAAAAUUGUAGCAUGAAUAUAAUCAGGCUUAAGUUUUUUCCUUUCUCACUAAAGGAUAAAGGUAAAACUUGGCUACAAAAUCUUAGGUCAAGAUCCAUCAGAACUUGUGAUGAAAUGCAAGCACAAUUUUUGAAAAAAUUCUUCCCACCCCACAGAACAAAUUUUUUCAAAAGACAAAUCACCACUUUCACUCAAAAACCAGGAGAAACUCUCUACCAAUGUUGGGAUAGGUUUAAAGAACUACUUAACAUUUGCCCACACCACAGUUUUGAAACAUGCAGAUUCGUGUCUUAUAUCUACGAGGGAUUAACAUCUCAAGGUAGACAAGUCGUUGAAAUGAUGUGUAAUGGUGAGUUUAGGGAUAAAAGUCCUGAAGAUGCAUUAGACUAUCUUGACUAUAUAGCAGAGAAUGCACAACACUGGGAUACAGUUGUUUCUUAUGAGUCAUCAAGUAAACCCCAGUCAUCUCCAUCUGGUGGAGGCAUGCAUAACCUUAAGGAAGAUCAUGAUUUUCAACCUAAAUUUGCAUCAUUGCCUAGAAAAGUCGAAGCAUUAGAAUUGAAAAAGAAUGAUCAUGUAAAGUCUGUUCACAAUAUUUCACAUUAUGUUUACGAUUCUACUAACCAUUUUACGCAGGACUGUCCAACUUUGCCAGCUUUGAGAGAAAGUUUGCAUGAACAAGUAAAUGUCGUUGACAAUUUCAAAAGGCCAAAUCCAAAUCCAUACUCCCAAACUUACAACUCUGGUUGGAGAAACCACCCAAAUUUCAGUUGGAGAAAUGACAAUCAUGCACAACCUUCACAACCAGUUCCUCCACGUCAAAUUUUCCAAAACCCCUAGAGUUACCCACCAUAUGUCCCACCAACAAGAAAAACUCUGGAAGACCCAUUGCAUUUGUUUAUUGAAAAACAAGAGUCGAUCAAUAACCAAACGAUGCAAACCUUAACCAAUUUGACAUAAACUAUCUCUAAACUUACAUCUGCUCCGACCAUGCAUGAAAAAUGAAAGUUUACUGCUCAACCUGAACCAAACCCCAAGAGUCAACAACAUCCUCAAAUGAAAAAUUUAGGAAACCAAAAUAUGAGUCAAGUCAAAUUGGUUAUAACCCUUCGUGGUGGUAAAGUGGUCGAAAAACACAUUGUGGACCCUCGUGAAACUAGUAAAUAUUCAAUUUCAGAAAAUAGGGAAGAGUCUGUCGAACCUUUAACCCAUGAAGAAAUAACCAACUCUCCUCAUAUACCCCUAUUUCCUCAAGCACUAAUCAAGCCAAAGAAAUCAAACCACAGUCUAGAAAUUUAUGAAGUUUUUAAACAAAUAAAGGUCAAUAUUCCUUUAUUGGAUGUCAUUAAACAAGUGCCUUCUUAUGCAAAAUUUCUGAAAGAUCUGUGCACGGUGAAAAGGAAAGAUAAGGUGCAAAAGAGAGCUUUUCUAGCAGAACAGGUAAGUUCAAUUCUCUUAACCAAUAGUGCUUUGAAAUACAAGGAUCCUGGUAGUCCACCUAUUUCUUGCACUAUUGGGGAUCAUAAAAUUGAACAUGUUUUACUUGAUCUUGGUGCUAGUGUUAAUUUGCGUCCUUACUCAGUGUACCAACAACUCAAUCUCGGUGAGUUAAAACCAACUUCUACCACUCAUUUACUUACUGAUAGAUCGAUUAAAGUUCCAAGAGGAAUAAUUGAAAAUGUAUUAGUCCAAGUUGAUAAAUUCAUAUACCCUGUGGAUUUUAUUAUUUUAGAAACGGAACCAAUUGUUAAUGAAUACAAACAAAUUCAUGUUAUAUUGGGUCGACCAUUUUUAGCUAUUACUAAUGCUUUGAUUAAUUGUAGGAAUGGAGUAAUGAAUUUAUCUUUCGGUAAUAUGACAUUGGAACUCAAUGUAUUCAACAUGUGUAAACACCUUCACCACCAAGAACAUGAUGAUAAUGAGAAUGAGGAGAUUGAUCUCAUAGAGCCAAUCAUUGAGGAACACAUUCAAGAUGAGAAUUUUACAAACUGUGCAGAAAUUUGUUUUGCUGGUUCUUUUGAAUCAAAUAAGGAAUUAGAUUGUGAUACUGCUAACAUAUGCCCUACACUUGAUUCUAUGCAGGUACCUACAUGUGACAAUGACUAAUCGAACUUUGAAAAUACGGUACAACCUGAAAAACCAAACGAAGAGGAAGUACCAGAGCUCGAAUUAAAGCCCUUACUAGAAGAAUUGAAGUAUGCCUAUCUUGGAGAGCAGCAGACAUAUCUGGUGGUAAUUUCUUCCCAACUCACGUAUGAUCAAGAAGGUAAGUUGUUGUAUGUAUUAAAAAGGCAUAAAAUUGCAUUUGGUUGGACCUUAAAAGACAUAAAAAGCAUGAAUUAUUUAAUUUGCACAAACCAAAUACACUUAGAGGAAAAUGCCAAAACAACUCGUCAACCACAAAGAAGACUAAACCCUCAUAUGAAAGAAGUGGUAAAAAAUGAGGUCCUUAAACUACUAGAUGUAUGAAUUAUCUAUCCUAUCUCUAAUAGCAAAUGGGCAAGUCCAACACAAGUAGUACCAAAGAAAUCUGGAAUAACCGUUGUAAAAAAUGAAAAAGGUGAACCAAUCCCAACACGAAUUCCAUCCAGUUGGUGAAUGUGCAUUGAUUAUAGAAAAUUAAAUGAUGCCACUAGAAAAGAUCAUUUUUCCCCUGCCAUUUCUAGACCAAAUUCUCGAAAGAGUGGCUGGACAUCCCUACUACUGCUUUCUUGAUGGUUACUCUGGCUAUUAUCAAAUCUCUAUAACCUUAGAAGACCAGGAAAAGACCACAUUCACAUGCCCAUUUGGAACAUUUGCAUUUAGGAUAAUGCCUUUUGGACUUUGCAAUGCUUCUACAAUAUUUUAAAGGUGCAUGCUAAGUAUUUUUAGUGACAUGGUUGAAAAUUAUCUUGAGGUUUUUAUGGAUGAUUUAACUGUAUUUGGUAAUUCUUUUGAUAUAGGUCUUAAUAAUCUAGAAAAAGUUUUAAAAAUGUGCAAAGAAAAAGGAAUGGUUUUAAAUUGGAAAAAAUGCCAUUUCAUGACCACUUCUAGAAUUGUCUUGGGCCAUGUUGUGUCUUCAAAAGGAAUUGAAGUUGACAAAGCCAAAGUUGAAGUCAUUUCAAAAUUACCCUCAACAAAGAUAAUUAGAGAAGUCUGUUCCUUUUUAGGACAUGCAGGAUUUUAUAGGAGGUUUAUAAAAGACUUUAGUGUCAUAUCUAGACCACUUUGUAACCUCUUAAUAAAAGACCACAUUUUGAAUGGACUAAAGAUUGUCAACAAGCUUUUGAAAAAAUAACUACUCUUUUGACAUCAACCCCGAUAAUGCAACCCCUUGAUUGGUCUUUACCUUUUGAACUAAUGUGUGAUGCUAGUGAUUAUGUUGUUGGCGUCGUUCUGGGUCAAAGAAAGGAAGGUAAGCCCUUUGUCAUCUAUUAUGCAAGUAGAACUUUAAAUAGUGCUCAAAUGAAUUACACUACAACUGAGAAAGAACUACUUGCUGUAAUAUUUGCAUUGAAUAAAUUUUGUUCGUAUUUAAUUAGUUCAUUCAUUAUUGUUUAUUGUGAGAUAUUUAAUGUCAAAACAGGAUGCCAAACCAAGGUUGAUACGAUGGAUUUUGCUACUUCAAGAAUUUAACUUGACAAUCAAGGACAAAAAGGGCGCUGAAAAUGUUGUUGCAUAUCAUCUUUCAAGACUUAUGAAUGAGUCUUCAAUUGAAACAACACCCAUCAAUGAUUCUUUCCCUGAUGAAUUUUUAUUUUCUAUAAACUUAAUGCCUUGGUAUGCUAAUAUUGUUAAUUAUCUUGCAACAUGUGAAAUGCCAUGUGACUGGAGUUCCUAGGACAAGAAGAAAUUCUUAACAGAAGUAAGAAGCUUUUACUGGGAUGAUCCAUACAUGUUCAGGUACUGCUCUGAUCAAAUUUUUUGAAGAUACAUACUAGACGACGAGGUAAGUAGGGUCAUUCAAUUUUAUCAUUCUGAAGCAUGCGGCAGCUAUUUUUCUUCAAAAAAGACAGCUGCAAAAAUAUUAUUGUGUGGAUUUUAUUGGCCUACAUUAUUUAAAGAUUCACAUGCAUUAUGUAAAGUGUGUAAGAAUUGUCAAAUGGUAAGGUUUAUUUCAAAGCGAAACAUGAUACCUUUAAACCCCAUUCUUGUCAUUGAAAUAUUUGAUUGUUGGGGAAUUGAUUUUAUGGGUCCUUUUCCAGCAUCAUUUGGAUUUGCAUACAUUUUGGUUGCUAUUGAUUAUGUUUCAAAAUGGAUCGAGGCAAUUCCUUAUCGGCAUAAUGAUCACAAGAUUGUGAUCCGUUUUUUAAAAGAAAAUCUUUUGAGCAGAUUCGGAAUACCUCGAGCCAUUAUCAGUGAUGGAGGUAAGCAUUUUUGUAAUAAGAGCAUUUUUGUAAUAAGUCAUUUGAGUCCUUAAUGAAAAAAUAUAGAAUUACACAUAAAGUUACUACCCCUUAUCACCCUCAAACAAGUGGUCAAGUUGAAUUAGCAAAUAAGGAGAUAAAACAAAUUUUAGAAAAGAUAGUUAAUCCAAACCGUGAAGAUUGGUCUCUUCAACUAACUGAUGCAAUUUGGGCAUAUCAUACUGCUUUUAAAACAUCUUUAGUAAAGUCACCCUAUCGGCUUGUUUAUGGAAAAUCUUGCCACUUACCAGUUAAACUUGAACAUAUAUCAUUUUGGGCCAUUAAAGCUUUUAAUUCAAAUCUUGAUAAUGCUGGUAAUGUGCGUAAAUUGCAAUUAAAUGAACUUAAGGAAUUAAGGAAUGAUGCAUAUGAGAAUUCCAUAAUUAUUAAGGCAAUGACCAAUUUUUUUCAUGACAAAAGAAUUUUUCGGAAAACAUUUGAAAUUGGUUAAAAAGUGUUGCUUUAUAAUUCUCGUCUUCAUUUAUUUCCAGGAAAGUUAAAGUCAAAGUGGAAUAGUCCAUUUGUUAUAAAAAAUGUGUAUCCAUAUACAGCCGUAGAAAUUGAGAAUCCAAAUGAUGGUGUCACAUUUAAAGUUAAUGGUCAAAGAUUGAAACCAUAUCUGGAAUACCAACCACGUGAAACAGAUACUGAAAUCAAUUUAAGUGACCCACCAAAUUUUAAUUGAGCCUUUUCAUUUUAACUUUUUGUGAAUUUGAUUUACUGUUACUUUAUCGUUUGAAUUAUUUGAUUUUUUUUUCCUUUUCCCUAUGUCUUCAAUAGAGUGCAUUGCAUUAUUUUUAAUUGUGUGUUAUUUGACAAUUGUGCUUUAGCUCACCAAAUUUUUAUACUUAUCAUGAGUACCUCCAUCAGAAGUUUCAUUUUCGAUCAUCUUAAAGAGCUUUUACAUGUAAAAGUUUACCUAAGGAAAUUGCUCUGAUUUUGUAAAUCACAUCCCAUUUGGGAUCUACAACCACCAGAGUUAGUAUCCCACGUGAAAGAUCUAGAAAGACAACGCAAGGAAAUAGAUGAUGGUAUUUAUAAUCUGCAAUUGGAACUGGAGGUAAUUCAAUAAAAGGACGAAGGUGAGUUAUAUUCCUUGUGUGUUUUUGUUUUAUUUUGUUGUUCUUCUUCACUUUUGAUUUGAUUUUGCAGAUUUGAUUCAUUUUGUUUUGAUUUAUUCUCCGGUAUAAAUGGCAUAUAAUGGUACUCUGUGACUUUUUAAGUCAGUAUUCUCAGUUUCCCACAAUAACUGAAACCUCAAUGUCCGGCAUGGAAGAAAUACAACGAAAUCUACAUCAACAUUUUCCUUCUCUCCCUCAAAAUGCUCUUAAGAAGAUUUACAAAGCUCGUUGUGAAUGAUGCGUUUGUUAAUGAUCAAUGGGAUUCCUGUUGACAUUCGCUGGUUAAUUGAAGCAAAGGUCCAACUGGCAGGUGAGUUUUCUGAUUCAUUCAUUUCCUACAUGCCGGGUUUUGGUAAAAGUACAUUUGCUUAUAAAAGAAGAGCUAAGCGACUUGGUUCUGAAUGUUCUCACUGUGUAAGACUUGCUUGCAAAAAGCCACGUUGUAAAACUUUAGGAAUGGUUUCUGUAAAUCAUGAAGAUUAAAUCAAAUUCGUUAAAGAUGACAUGAGUAAAGAAUCGUUGGAUGAUAUCUUACAAUCUCUUGCGACGCAUCCGAGCGGAUAUGUUUUACGUGAAAUUCAAAAUUUGUGGAAGUUGUUCCAAAAGGAAAGCGCACAAUUUAGUCUUGGGAAUCUAACUCUAAAAGACCUUGUUUGCCAGUUUAUAAGAAAAUUGGAUGGGAAGUCUAUCCUCAACCCAUAGAGGGCAUUCGAGCCAUUACUGGACGUAAAACCAGAGGAAGAUGUGAGCCACAAUCAUAACUACCAGUAAAUAUCCUUUUAUUUUACUGUUCUUUUAUCUUUUGCAUUAUUAUUAUUAUUGUGUGUCUUUUUUUAUAUAUAAUCACGUCUUUUUUUAUAUAUAAUCAUUGUUUGCUUUUUCUUUUCACUGUUUGCCUUUGAAUUAUUAAGCUAAAAGUUUCACGCAUCAUUUGACAAACACACCACCCCAUUUACAGAUGUAUAUCAUUAUGUACGUCACCAAGAUCCUUAAAUAGGAGCUCAUUUUCAAGCACUCACAAAUUGUUUCUUUUUAUAAUUUUUCUAAUGGCAGCAACUUCAAGCAGACAACUAAAGAACAUUUAUGUGCUUUAUAGAUUUCGCUAUGGAAAGUAUAAGGAGUUUGUUUAGGCAUCCAUAGAUCUUGGUCGUGUUAUAGCGGAGAGGAAACUUCAUCUUGUAUAUGGAGGAGGUGACCGAGUGUUAUCAAAACUUAUCUCUGAAGCUGCUUUCAUUCGAGGAAGCCAAGUGUUAGGCAUUAUUCCAAAAGCCUUAAAACCUUUAGGAUGUCUACCAAACACACCAAUUGGAGAAGAGUUAGUUAUCUCAGGUAUGCAAGAAAGAAUAUCUGAAAUAUUAAAUCAUGCUGACGCUUUUAUUUUCUUGCUAGGAGACCUUACAACUUUAGAGGCGCUAAUUACAUUUGCUUCUUGGGCCUAUUUGAAUAUCCAUAAAAAAUCCAUCGGUUUGUUAAAUGUUAAUAACUUUUAUGAUGGCUUAAUAACAUUUCUUAAUCAUGCAAUUAAAAAUCAUUUCAUUCCAUCCUCAGCGAAAAAACUCUUCAUUUGUGCUCCUACUGCUAAUGAGUUACUUGAUCUUUUGCAAGCUUACAAACUAAAGCCAGAUCCCAUGACUUUGGCGUUGGAUUGGGCAACUGAUGACGAUGGUAGUAACUCUCGUAAAAAGUGUAAAUUAGAUUUAACUCUCUGUUUGUAAAUAUUUCCAGUAGUGGCCAAGUGAUAUAUUCUAAACUCUACUCCUUUCUUUAGACAUUGAGGACAAUGUCUCCUUCAUGUUGGAGGGAGGGAAUAACUGACAAUUGUGGAAUAUCUCAGUCCUGGUGAUGUUUUUUAUAAUUUUUAUUGUAAAAACUAACUUUGGAUAAAUAUUUAAGUCGAAGAUGGUAGAAUAUAGAAUGUAGUGUCUCUAAAAACGCAUCUUUUUAAAUUUAGUGUUUUGUUUUCCCCAAAAAAAAAUUGUUUUUUAACUUUUUUUUUCUUUUUCUCUUAAUUAUCUUCCUUAAGUUUCUGCAAUCAGUCCCAAUUUUUUAGUGUUUUCUUUAAUUAAAAAAGAUUUCUUUUUUUAUGUGAUCUUUUAACAUUGGAUAACAUGAUGAUUUUCAAAUUUUGGUAUUCAUAUUAUCUUUGGCAUUGAGUUAUGUUACACUAUGUUUUCCCCUUUGCAUGUUGAAACGUAAAUUGAGAAAUUGGAUGAGUGAAAUUGAUUAAGUCAUUUGGAGGAAUGUACAUGUUAUGAAAAGUCCAAGUGAGUUUUUGAGCCUAUUAUCCUUGGAGAGUAACCAUGUUUGCCUAUACAACUUCACAAUUUAUUGUACAAGAUCUCAAUAUUUUCUUUAUAAAAAAAGUAAAAAAAAAAAAAGAGAGUUUGUGCAGCCGCAUCUAAAAGUCCAUUGAACUAGUGGAUAUGAAAGAUUAUUUAAAGCCCUAAAAAAUGACAGAAGGUCAUCUUUGAUCCGUUUGAGAUUUUCUAGCCAACCCUGUUACAAAGAAUCCAUAGUUAACCCCUUUAAGCCUUUGAAAAAAAAAAUUUCUCUGAUAACCUAUCAUCUUUUCCUACUCCAAUGUGGAGUAUAACCUUAUGUUUUAUGUUUUCCAUCACCCAAUUAUGUUUGAAAAUAGGGAUGAUUAUGUAUUCAUAAUAAUGGUGCUAUGAAAAAAAAAGAAUAUGUAUAUAAAAAUAAAAAUUUAAAAAAAGAAAAAAAUUCCAAAAAAAAAGCACCUUGUAAUCUCCAAAAAGUCCCCUAUUUUUCAAACAUAUAUUUUUAUUUUCCUUAUUACCUUUUUUGUUAGCCAUAACCCUAGCUUACGUUAUAUCCUAACAAAAGUCCUUGAUUUUAGGGAACUAUAGUCUGAAGUAAAGCUGGUGAUAUGGAUUAAAAGACGUGGUGAUGCAUAAAAAUAAAAAUAGAUUUUGCUAGUAAUUCCUUGGACUUGAGAUCAUUUUAUUUCUAAGCUGUGGGUAUCAUUUUUUUAUCUUGGUGAGAGCGUGUGAUAUUGUUUUAUUAUUCUCUCAAAUCUACCAUUUUAAGAGUGACAGUUUAAUUUGGGAUAUAUUUUUUUUUAGAGAGUCAUUCUUAAUCGUGAAGUUUUGGGGUUUGAUGUAUCAUUCUUAAAAGUGGCUUGAUUAACGUAGCUCUUAUAAUUGAUCAUUUUACAGGAUUUUACUGAACUGUUUUGUGCGGGUGUGAUUUUCUUUAGGCUGAAGAUAAUGCUUAUAUUUGUAUUUGAUUGUUGUCACUAAUCUGAUGGUAGAAGUAAACACAAUUUUUCCAAAAAAAAAAAAAAAAAGAUUUUCAAUUUGGUUUUGAAAUUUCUCUGAAUUUUUAUCGCUUAAAUUGCUAAGGUCUAGCAAUAAGUUGGUUGGGGGGUGUGAUUAACACUAAAAAGUGUACGUGUAAUAAGAAUAAAAUUUUUAGUUUUUCACUUAAAGUGUUGAUUAAUGCGUACAUAACUUAUAAAUUAUAUGAAUGCUCCCCAAAUAAAGUUUUGUGUUAAAUUAUUUCGCAAUAUGUUAAUUUUUAUCUUAUAAAUAUUUUCAGGAAUAAAUUGGAAUUGAAAGCGGGAACAAAUAAAGAACUGCUAGAGCAAUUUGGAAGCAUUAUUGAGGAAAUGUAAAUAAAUAAAUAAAAUAAAAUAAAUGAAAAUGAAUAAAAAAUAAAAAAAUGAAAAAAAAAACAAAAGAACAAAAACCAAGCAAUUUGGUUUCUCGUGAUGGUCAUGGCCACUUGACCAUUACACAUUUCAAUGUACAUAUAUAUAUAUAUAUAUAUAUAUAUAUGAUUCCAUACCCAAGAUGCCCAGCUCAUCUUACAAAGGACAUUCAAAGUAAAAUGGUGGUCAAAGUUUGACGAACAGUCUAAAUUGACAGACACUCUAAUCCGCAAUUGGCUCUGUUCUAAAGGCUUCUUACCCCCAACCAUUAAAGCAGUGAAAGCCCAAGAGGCCUUCCUAACCCAAAAAUCCAAAGCCCAAUCUCUGUUGGCCAGUGCCAAAUCUGAAGAAGAAUAUUUUAAAGUCAUGGAGCAGCUCCUCACCUCAAGAUCUUAUAAGGCCUCGAGGGUUUCUUAUAAGGGAGUUCUCUAAAAUUAUGAAAAUGUUUUUUAUGACUUUUAGAUUUGUAAUGUUUUUUGUAAGGCAUUGAAGAGCACUUACUAUUACAAUCUUUGGAGGUAGAAGUUUUAAAGGGAUCAUAAUUGAAUUGCUUGCAGAAACUGCCUAAUUCUUGCUUAGAUUUCUAUAUAUUAUAAUAACAAAAUAAAUAAAGAUAAUGCAUUCCUUGCCUAUAAAAGGGCAAGGAAAUGCAGGGAGAAGCUAGUAGAGGAGGGAGCUGAGUUCUGAGAGAGAGUGAUAGCCAAGGGUGUAGCUAAAGAAUUUCUUUCUUUCUUUGUCCAUUCACGAGCAUAUUAAGAAUUGAAGAAGCCUGCGGAUGUGUUUAAGAUUGCUGAGUUGUUGAAUGGACAUGUGUUUGUUAAUGAAAAGGGUAAUUUUGCUUACCCUUUUGCUUUUACUUAUCAAUCUUAAUUUGGUAUGAAUGCGUUUAUGUUGUUUAAAUUGAAAAGGGCACUUUAUGUUUGGUUAAUUAUAUGUGUUAUUGGGUUCUCCAUUAGGUGCUCAUUUUAAGGCUAUUGUUGAAUACGCUUCAUCUCAACGUGUUCUCAAACCUUGUUCUAGAGAGGAUAGUCGUGAAAGCACCAUUUUUAAAAGUAAUUAUUUAUUUUUUAAAAAAAAAAUAGGCUACUUUUGGGGUGGAGGUGCUGUGGCUUUUACCAAUACACUUAAGCUACAAAAUUUCAAAGUUAAGUAAAAGCUCAACAAUUACAAGCAUACUUUUAUUUUCUUUAUCUUCUUAUUGUUUUUAGAAGUACUGUAGUAUUAAGCUAUAUUUGGUUUGAUUUGGACAAUAAAGACCCGGAUUAUCUGGAGUUCCUGAAGGUUAUUGCUAAACCUGCUGAGAAUCUACCAAGUGUAGAAAUUCAGUAGGAAAGAAAAGAAGCUGAGCUAUCUGGUUAGUUAUUUUUAGAUGAAUUUGAUUAAUAGAACCUGUUGUUCCUAGUGUGUGUGCGUGUGUGUAAAUGUAUGAAAUUUGAGCUAUAAAAUAAAUAAAUUCUGGCACUGUUACUGAGAUCAAUGCUCAGGUAAGUAAUUCACUAAUUUAAGUUAUAAAUUCAGGCGUUGCUAGGAAUAUAUAUUAUUAUGAAAAGGUGAAAAAAAAACAGGUUAUUAUCAUUUAUUACCACAUAGCUAGCAUUGAAAUAUAAAGUUCCCAAUAAAAAUUUAACUUCUCCCAUUACAUGCGACCCACGGAAACAGUACUAUCAGCAGGAGUGAGCAAAGCUACAGCAGCAAAUUCAAAUGUCACAGAAUUCUAACAGGUAUUUUCAAUUAUUUCAUCAACAACUAUUUUCAUAUUAAGCAUAGUUAAUUAAUUUUUUUUUUUAUAUAUUAAUCACGAGGUAUCCUGGAGAGGGCCCCAACUGUGGGAGGCACCUUUAAGCCCGUACCACAACCCAGACUAGUAGUCCCCGCUCGAACCGAGAGGCACAGGUUCUCCCAACAAAUGCGACUUCCCUGCGACUCGAACUAGGGAGCAAACCCAGUCAAGCCACUUAAGGGGACUCCAUUGCCAGUGGAGCCAACACUUUGUUGAUAUAGUUAAUUAAUUAUGCCAAAAUAUACAAUUUCAAUUGAAUUUUCGAUUGGUUAUCUCACUUUUGACACUUCAUAUAGGCAUUUGAUGGGUGAUUCUCUGAGUUCUUUAACUGUAAAGGAGCUUAAGCAACUGGAGAACAGGCUUGAGCGAGGCAUCACUAGGAUCAGGUCCCGGAAGGUAAUUAAUUAAUUGCAUUAUGCAUGCAUGAAAUCGACCGAAACAAAUAAUUGAAUUUGAGCAAUACACAAUUGUUUUGCAAUAAUACAUUGCAUAAACUUUAUCGAUAUACGUUCAGUAUAUGUAACUUAUGUCAUUUUAAAAAUAAUUUGUUGCAAUUUAUGUCAUUCUGUGCAACAGCAUGAAAUGCUGCUACCUGAAAUUGACUUCUUGCAGAAAUGGGUAAUAAUUAAAAUUCAUUAAAUCCUGUUUAGCCAUUUUUUCGUUUUCUUCCAAGCUUUUAUGGAAAUCUUUAACAUUUUCAUUUUCAUAGGAGGUUGAGCUGGCAAAUGAAAGCGUGUGUCUCCGAUCAAAGGUAUGCAAAUCAGUCCAUUGUAUGUAUAAUGCAUUUUUUCUCGCCCUCUUCCAAAAUUUCAGCACGUUAUUAAAAUUACAUUGUUUCUGAAACUCAGAUAGCAGAAAUGGAGAGGUUUUAGCAAGCAAACAUGGUGACUGGGCAAGAGCUGAAUGCAAUCCAUGCAUUAGCUUCUCGGAUUUUCUUCAGUCCUCCUAUCAUCGAGGGUGGUGGCACUGCUUACUCUCACCCGGACAAGAAGAUACUCCAUCUCAGGUAAUUAAUUCUCCCAUCGCAUUUCAUUUCUACACGCUCGUGUUGCGUGUGCAUUAAUGUUUUCUCCCGUUUGCAGAUAAGCUAGAUGCUGGAGAUCAAGCUUGUGGCAUCUCAGUGCGAGAUCUAUGAUCAUACUACAUUAUCUACUGAAUGUGUGUGCUACUUGAUACCUAUUUUUGAAACCAGCAAUAUAUGAAACUGGAUGAGUUUAUGUGUAACCUAAUUACUUACGCUGACUUAUCAUUGGCUUCUUCUCCUUGGAAGACCAAUUAUUAUGCUGAAACUCAAUAUCUAUAAAACUGAUGCUGUAUAAUGUCGAAGGAUUUGCAGUAUGUAUAAGGUAAAUAAAGAUUGUGUCAUAUAUGCAUAAAUAAAUAUUGUACUUGAUAAACCUAGACUAUCAGCUAGUUGAAGUUUGGUGUGAAUCGAAGAAGGGUCAUAGGUUUGGUGGUUUUAGGAUGCGUUUGGGAUUGAAGUUGGGCAGUUGUAGCUUCAGUUGUAGCUUAAAAUCUACAACAUUAAAGUGUUUGGUAAACACUAGCUGUUGUAGCUUCAAAGCUAUUUUGAUAUGAUUUUUCACUUGUAUGAUGAAAAAUCUAUUAUAUCUUUAAUAAUUUUAUCAAAAUUAUUAUUAAAAUUUAUAUCUACUAUGCACUAUUAACUUUUAUUUCAUAAUUAUAGUUUUUUUUAUACAGCAGUUGUAGUUUAAAAGUUACAGCACCUCAAUCUCAAAUAGGUUUUUAUUGCAACUCUCUUAGAUGUUAGGAUUACCCUAUUAUGUGAAAGGAGUAAAUAAUAUACAAACAAACUAUUUAUACAAAGUGAUAUGACAUUAGAAGAGCGAAAACAAAAAAGUGAAGGUACAAGUGAACUCGAGUGUAUGUUCGAGUUUUUGGGAAAAUCAUUGAUUGCUAAAAGGGCAUAUUUUGGGUUGUAUCUGUUACAAAUGUGGAAACAAGAUAGCCGGAGGAGAAAAAGGAAUCAAAUCUCUUUGGAUUCACCGUGUAAGAAAAGAUUCUAAGCGGCUCCAUAAAAGAAACUUCAUUUGAUGUCAAUACAAUUUUUCCAUACUAUCUUAAGACCGCACUCGAGAUUGGACUGGGAACAUUUACAUAAUAGAGGAUACAAGCUUCUUGACUGUAGUAAAACACUAAGAAUAAAUGCAGUAUUAACUUCAAAUAUUAUCUGAAAAGGUACGGGAGACGGAAAAAAUACACUUUAGAUGAUUUUCAUGCCAAUGGCAUAUAGUGCCUGCAGGUGAUUAGGUCAAAGAAUGGCACACCCUCCUUUUUCAGCUCCCUUACGGAGCUCCUCAGUCUCCCUCUGAGCUCUUUCAAGAUUCUCUCUAAGCUUACGAAUUUCGUCAUUCGACUUCAUUUGAGCUAAUUGUGCAACCUCUUCUGCCUUUAAUCGAGCAGCUUGCUCCUCUGCCAAUUGUUGUUCGAGCCUAGUUGUUGUCUCUUUGAGCUUAGACUCAACCUAUCAAAAAAGCAUCAAUAUCAGUCAGAAAACAAGCCACUAAGCCCUAGAGUAGCAGUAUAAUAUAAACAAAGAUUGGGUAAUGGUAAUAUAAAACUCCAACUUAAAAGAAGAAAAUUCUUAAGUAUUAAUUUAGUUUAAUCCAAUCGCAAAGGGAGUUGCUAAGUUCACCUUAUUCGGCACAACUUUCUUCUCUCAAUCAUUGACAAAUGGUAGAAACAAAAGCUUAAAAAAAUAAACAGAUAAACCCAAAAUAUAAGGUAUUAAAGAAUAUACUAACUUUUUCAUUUUGCCACACUCCAGGAUUGUGGAGAGUAAAACUUAUUAGCACAUCAGACACAGUACACAAACCGUUACAGCAAAUCCAGAUUAAUGUUGAAUAUAAAUUAAAACUGUGGAAAGGAAUAUUUAAACUACACAGCUAUUUGAUUAGGUUCCAUGUACCUAACUAUAUUUUCCAAAAAACUUAUUUUGAAUGUGGCUAUUCUGUUUUUAACAAAAUUAGAAUAUGACAUAACUUGCUAAUAACAUUUCAAAUGUUCCCACAGAUUCGGGAGUGCAAAAUUCCUAGAACCAAAACAGGAUCUACAGUAUUACAAGAAAUGUUCUUAUUAUUGAUGACUAAACAAGUGUAGAAUCCAUUCCUAAGUGCAAGUCAUGAUGAGCAAACCACCUAUAGCUACUACUAUAGAGCAAUCUACUUAAUUUCAUCAAGAAACAAAACAGAACAAGACAGUCAAACAAUCUUGAAGGUAAGAACAAUAUGUUACAGCUUUCAAAACACUAUCAGUGAACAGAUAACUUAAUAACAAAUUUGUCCCUAUCAACUAGCAAGAUAAAACCUCUUUUCAGAUGGCAAUCUCUAACAAUCUAGGGGUAAGGACACAGCGGCAGUCUUUACCUCCUCCAAGUCUCACAAUUUAGAAUAUCAUUACAGGUACCUGCACACUUUAUAGUAAUGAAGUCACCUUCAACUCAGCAAAGAUAUCGUCUGUAUAUGGCUGCCCACCAUUCUGCACGGCCACAGAGUUAACCAGAGAAAGAAGCUUCCAAACCUGCUCAGUUCUCUUGGCCUCAUCCUUGGUCUUGUUAUCAAAAAGCACGCGCCUAUUAUCACAUAGUUGAAGGAUUUCCUAAAAUAAUGGAAAAAUGAUCAGGAAUAAAGCAAAUGUUGGCCCCUUUUGUAAGCAUUGAUAAACCAAUCAAACACUUGUAGUCUCUAAAAGUUUGAAAGUAUUCAGCUGACAAAAUUUGUUUUUAUUGUUAUCAUUGAUACUUAAUAUCUUGCAUCCUCAAAAACUAUUUAAAAGCAAGCCAUAAUCAAAUUUUAAUAAUUAAUUCCAUUCUCCUUAUGGGUUGACCACUUAGAAUAAGGUGAUCAGCAUUCCAUAUAACAGAAAAUAAUAAUAAUAAUAAUAAUCUGCAUAUAUUCCAGUGAAAAGCAUUGACCCAAUCAAAAUUAGUGGCUACAAAGCAGUAGUUGCCUACUCACAAAUUCUUACAUUAUAGAACAAAGCCUGAAAGAUUGUACUAUUGUCAUAAACAAACUCAAGUGACCAAAGCUCAAACCAAAAGACAUGAUCAUAUUUUCUGUGGCAUCUACAUAAUUGACAAAAUUUUGCGGCAUUAUAAUUAAAAAAUUUUGAUUCCUUCAAACUACAAAAAUUACUACAAUAAGAAAAACAAAGCUCACUUUAACUGUAAAAUAACCCGAUUUUGUUAAUUGCAAAGCUACAACUUGAAGGGUCUUUAUCUCCAUUUUUGUUGUUUUUCUUCCAACUCCUCAUAGGUUUAAUCAAGUAUGCAGUAAAAUAGAGGAACUCGAUAUAAAUCUUUCUCAACUUAAAAAGUUUUAGGAAACAAAUUCAUCAAGUAAAUGCUGAAUAUAGGAGAUUUGCAUGUUAAAACUGAAAAGCGAUCUCACAUUGAAAUUUUAGACACCAAUUCUGAGGCUAGAAUCCACAGGGAUUUUUAAGAGAAUUUUAAAUCUUGUAAAGUUAGACUUGAUAUUCUAUUCAAACAACACCUAAUAAAAUGGACCUGUAUAGCAAGUCAUGUCCUCGUUGGCGCACUUCUAAAAUCUUAAAAGUAGGUUAAUUUUAAGCAUAUAAAUCAAUGAUGUACAUAUUUUAAGGAACAAACAAAUGAACACACAUUAAUAGAAUAAGAACCAAAGAUUAAAUAACAGAUGAAAUCAAAGAAUACAAAUAAGAAAAGCAUAAAUGCUUGGCAAAUGAAUGAAUGACAUCUCAUUCAAAGACAUUAAAAUAUAACUAAAAUUAAGUAAUGCCAGCAGAAAAUUACCAACCAAUCACCCCCUCCGGCCAAUACCCCAUGGCAGAAGAAAAUCAUUCAGGAAAUGAAGCAAUAUUGAAUGUGGAACUUUAAGACGGCUGGACUACUAUGAACCUGUCUAGUAUUUUCAGCAUGGAUAUAUUCAUAUUAAACUUCCAAUAGUCCAACCGUAAAGGAGUCUAAAACUUCAAAAAGGAACCAACCCAAGACAACUUGAUCAAAAUGACUAAUGAAAUUAUCAAACACUAUUGCCGUUCAGAAACAAACCUUUAAAGGCUUUGGACACUCACGACCCAAAUAAUCUUCUAACGUUUCCUCAUUAUCUUCAAGUUCAUCCCCUCCAGUGAAAACAACAAUCAUAUAGUCAAAAACUUUUUUCCCGAACAAGGUCUGCCAACUGUGUAGUGCAGCUUCUUCCUCUUGAGGAAAACGGCUUCUAACAGAGAAACCUACAAGGACUGCAUGGAUCCCAUCCUUGGCCAGACCGAUACAUUUGACAAUUUCCAUGCCGACAAACUCAGAGCCAGCAGAAAAAUCAAAAAGUCCUGCAAUUGCUCAUAACAUCAAUCUACCCUUUUUUUUUUAUUACGAUAACAUCAAUCUACUUACCACCACAACAUCAACAGGCAUGGAAAUGGAAUAUCUAGGCAACGACAUUAGUAAAUUACCGGGGGUAUCAAUGACAUUAACAACUUGGCCAUCUUUGAGCACGGUUCUCUGCAUUUCACAAGUACUAGUAACACCAGACGAGCUAGCCCUCGACUUGAAGGCUCUUCUUCCAAGAAUACUGUUGCCCGUCGCACUUUUGCCAUUGCCAGUACGGCCAACAAAAACCACAGUGCGCACCCCAUUAGAUGGAGAAGUAAGCUCCCAAUCAUCAUCAAUCGCACUUCCUCCCAUCGUAUAAAAAAUUUCAAUUUACCUGCAAUGCAUUUACAAUAUCAGACCACUUCAUAUUGAAUUCAGUCUUUAUCAUUAAACAAUAAGAAACAAGAUUUAGUUACCAUCCCUUACAAUUUCACUCCAUUAAAACCUAUGUUUGUUAUUACUUUAAAUAUUAUCCAACCGAACACGAAUAAAUUCGUAAAAAUAUUAAAAAUAAAAAUCAUUCAGACCACAACAAUAUAAUUGAAUUUAAAAUAUUGAUAAAAAUAUGAUGGUAUUGAUAUACAAUCAAGCACAGAAUCUAAACAGAAUCCGUUGAUUAAUUAAUUAUGGUGGUAUAUAAUUUUAUUUCAUUUCUGUUGUUUUGCGAAAUUAUUGAACAAAACCACGACCAAUCAGUUACGCAUUGGAUUGAACCCUUGACUUCUUACUUCUGGAAAUUGAUAUGUUGGAGAUGCUCUAAGUUAGAGCAUAACCAACAUAGCAGGAUCCCUUACUUCUACAAUAAAUAAAUAAAUAAAAUCUAUAUAUUGGCUAACGAAACUUUUUAUAAAGUUAAAACUGUAAGGUACGUCUUUCUUUCUUUCUUUUUCUUUUUUUUUUUUUUUGGUUUAAAAUUAAUAAUUUUGGGCAUUGGCUUAAUACUUUAAGCUUGUAAUUCAGUGAAACAAUAAUUACACAGUAUUAGAGACAGUGUUAGUGGUGUUCAAUUUUUUCCUCAAUCAGCUUCUAUCAGUUAAGAUUUUUCACUAGUUUUGGUCCUUAUUACAAAAUUUUAAUGGUUUCACAAAUACAGUAUCAAAACAAAUAAAGUUUCACAUUCAAAUUCUUACAGAUUUAAGUACUGUGUCAAUUGCAAUUAAUUUUCGAACCCAUUACCUUAUUAAUCUCUUUAAAUCUACAUGACUUCUAAUACCGAUUCCGCUCGAUGUGAAUUGGCAUUCAUCACUAUCAUGGUCUAUAAUAACUUAAAUUUUGUAUCCAAUGGGUUAAAUUGAUUAAUGUUGUAUCACUACAGUUCAAUUGCUACACACGUUUCAUGCAUGUACCAUACAUCUCAAAUUAAGAUGACUCCCUAGACGUUCAUCAAAAGUCUUAUAACACUGAAACAUAUUUAUCAAUGAAUGCUCUUAUCAAGGUACAAAAUUUCAACAACAAUCGUAUAAAAUUUGCAGGAAGCAGCAUAAUGAUAUUCACAAGAUUGUCGUCUCUCUCUCUCUCUCUCUCUCUCUCUCUCUCUCUAUGUAUAUGCUAUACACCCCACUAAUAAAACAUACAAUUAAUUCAACGUAUAUACAAACUUGAAAAUUGGUACUCACUCACCAUUGACAAGACCAAAAUCCAAAACAUAAAAUCUUUCUUGGACAAAUACGUCGAAAACAAAAAACGCUAAUUUUUUCAAAGAUAUUUUUUAUCGACUAAGCAUCCAAAUGGUGGUACUGUAGUUAGAUUCUACUCGAGGGUAUGUUAGUCAAUCUCAUUUGUGACAAAGCAAAAAUUAUUAAAAAAAGAAAAAAUUGCAGUUUAAUAUCUUCACUGUGGCAUCCAAAAUUUGACAAGUUUUUCAAGAUCCUUAAGUAUGCUUCUUCUUCUUUUUUUGGCAUAUAUUUUUUAAUAUUUUCCCAAUUGUUUUGAGACGCUGGCUUUUUAGUUUUGCAGUCUGCAGAUGCUUGAAAACGUACGAAAUGGUCAUUUAUUAGCAGUAAUUUGUUGUCAUAAACUUUUAACAGAAAUAUUCAUUCUCUCAUAAUGGCUUUUGGAAGAAAAUUUUGGUUGUUUGACUUUAAGAUUUAAGGAGAAAUAAGUGUUAAGAUUUGAAAUCCCUAGAUCUAAAAUCUCUUCACUGGUAACAGCUGUGAUCUUCUAAACAAUUUAGAAAAUUAUGCUUUGGUAAUUUGUUUGGAUGCUAUCAAGUUCACAUGAGUUUGAGAUUAAUGAAGGCAGUGAAGUACUCAUACAUAUAUAAUCGAAAUUAGACUUCAAUGAUGGUAUAGCCUGGUUAAUUACUAAUUAGCAUCUUGAUUUAAAACCCACAUCCGUAACUUUCCUUGGAAGAUCUAAAAACCUUUUUUUCUUGCAGUCUGAAAUUGCAAGAUAAAUUCAUCUAUAAUUGAAAUUGGACUCCAAUUAGCUAGCUUCGUUAAGGGUGACUUAGGUGUCGAAAAGCACCCCAAGUAUCUUGAUUCAAACCAUGUCCCAUAGUUUUCUUUAGAAAAAUGUAAUUACAACUUGUUUCUUUGCACUGUAUUGAUAUUGCCCGUUUUAGGAUUUAGGGGAGGCCUUAUGCUUCGUAAGAAAUGAUUAUAUAUAUACAUAGAGUCAUUCUCUCAUACAAGUGCCCCCUUUUUUUUUAUGCAGACACGUUGUUAAAUCAUGUGGUUUAAUAAAGUGUCCGCAUUAAAAAAAAAAAUGAGGGCACGUGCACCUGAGAAUAAUUUUAUAGAUACACACACACACAUAUAUAUAUGUAUAGAGAGAGAGAGAGAAGUCUAGUAACCUAAUUUCAUUUAUGAUAACAUUUUUAAAAACUCAAUCUCAUCGUGUGUGAUUAAAUAGAUUCUACAUGAGAGUGUCCAUCAAAACUUGUCUUUAAACUAACAUUGGGAUCAUUUUUCUUUUACGUCCACAAGAGCAUCCAUUAAAAUUUGUUUCUCUCAGGUCUUUAUUUUCCUCCUUGGUAUAUUUUUAAGAAUUUACUCCCAUUUUUUAACUCUGUUUUACUCUUCCAUUUUUUAAGAAAUCUCAAUUUUAGGUUUUUUUUUCCUUUCUUUCUUUUCAAGGUCUCUCAUGUUUCAUAUCUUAGAGAAUCCAAAAUUUCCAAUGAAAGCUUUUCUUCUUCUCUUUCUUUUAUAGCCCCAUGAUACAUUAGUUUAAUCAUUUGUUGAUUCUCCAACAAAGUAGUAUUAGAGCUAGUGUUCGAUGCUAUAUAUAAUCAUAUAGCAUAUCAAAUGGAAGAUCUCGAUGAGAGGAACGUAAUGCCACAAAACUCAGCCCGAUCGGAGGCCGAACUCACCCACACUCACUGCCAGAAGUUUUAUGUCCUGAAGUUGAGUCGACUCACCGAGUUGAACCAAGCUGAAACCAACCGAACCAAGUUGAGCCGAACUGAACCAAGCCGAGCCGAGCUGAACCGAAUCAAGUCGAACCGAGCCAACUAGAACCGAACUAACCCGGAUCGAACCAAGUCAACUACACUACAGUUGACCAUUGACCGACAUUGACCAUUGACCAAAAAUUGAUCGUUGAUUGAAAAUUGACUCAAGUCCCUUCCAAGGUUUCUCGACGUACCGGAUCCAUCUGUGCAUUCAGAAUCUCAAAAUUCUCACUCAAUUUGUGAGUUAUGGCAAAUGUUGGUAUGAUGUCAUUUCAAGCUCCACAAUUAAAGGGAAGUAAGUUGGACAAUUAGAGUAUUAAAAUGAAGGCUCUGUUUGGUGCACAUGACGUAUGGGAUGUCGUGGAGAAAUGUUUUAUUGUGCCAGAAAAUGAAACCACUUUAACUGCGGUGCAGAAGGAGAAUUUAAAAGACUUAAAGAAGAAAGAGAAUAAAGCAAAGUAUCUUAUCUUUCAAUCAUUAGACGAAUAUGCUUUUGAAAAGAUUACUAGUGUAACCUCCUCAAAAGAAGUAUGAAAGAAACUAAAGACUUCUUACAAAGGAGCGGAGCAAGUUAAGAAGGUUCGUCUCCAAACAUUACAAGGAGAAAUUGAGUCCUUACACAUGAAGUCAUCGGAGUCAAUUUUUUACUACUUUACUCAAGUUGUGACCGUUUCCAAUGAAUUAAAAGGAAAUGGCAAGGAGUUAAAACAGGUAAGGAUCAUUGAAAAGAUACUUCGAUCAGUAGACUUGAAGUUUGACCAUAUUGUUGUGACAAUUGAGGAAACAAAAGAUCUGGAGGAUAUGACGAUCGAGCAACUUCGAGGAAGGUUGCAAGCCUAUGAAGAAAAACUAAAAAAGUAGUAAGGAAUUGAAGAACAACUUCUCAAUAUGGAAUCAAUCCAAAGAAAAGAGAAGAAAGCUCCGACAAUGAGAGAAGGUAUUAUGUUCGAGGUAGAGGUCGUGGUCAUGGACGAGGUUAGAAUUUCAACAACAACAACUCCAAUUAUGCCAACGGAGAAAGCUCAACCAGAGGACAAGGCAGAGGCAAUCCAAGAUCAAGGUAUCACAAAUCCCAAGUAUAAUUGUCAUAAGUUUGGGCAUUAUGCUUCAGAAUGUAGAACUCCAAGUACCAGAAUUAAUGAGAGAGUGAAUUAUGUAGAAGAGAAAAAUGGUAAAGAUGGCACACUUUUACUAGCACGCAAUAACACAAGUGUAGGUCAAGAAAAUACAUGAUAUCUUGACACAGGUGCUAGCAAUCAUAUAAGUAGAAACAUAAGCAUGUUCAUGGAACUAAAUAAAUCUGUGAAUGGCAGUGUUGCUUUUGAAGAUGAUUCAAAAGUACCAGUGAAGGGUAUAGGUAACAUUCUUUUUCGUGCAAAAAAUGGUAGCCACUAAAUAAUUUCGAAUGUUUACUAUGUGCCCAAUAUAAAAAGAAACAUCCUUAAUUUUGGUCAACUUUUGGAAAAAUGCUAUGAUAUUCACUUAAAAGAUUGUAAUCUUUUCUUAAGAGAUGACAAAGGAAAUCUUAUUACAAAGGUAAAAAUGUCGAAGAAUAGAAUGUUUCCUUUAAUUAUUCAAAACGAUGUUGCAAAAUGUCUCAAAAUAUGUCACAAAUAUCCAUCUUAGACUUGGCAUCUUUGAUAUGGGCAUCUCAACUUUGGAGGACUGGAGUUACUAUCUAAGAAGAACAUGGUGAAAGACUUACCAUGCAUCAAUCACCCUGAUCAACUUUGUGAAGGAUGCUUACUUGGCAAGUAGUUCAGAAAGAGCUUUUCAAAGGAAUCAAACUCAAGAGCUCAGAAGCCACUCGGGUUCAUUCAUACUAAUGUGUGCGGUCCAUUCAAGCCAAGCUCCCUUGGUAAAAGUAAUUACUUCCUUCUCUUCAUAGAUGCUUUUUUAAGAAAAAGUUGAGUGUAUUUUUUGAAGCAGAAAUCAGAAGUCUUUGAAGCUUUUAAGAAGUUUAAAGCUGCAGUAGAAAAAGAAAGUAGAUACCACAUUAAAGCCAUGAGAUCUGAUCGAGGUGGAGAGUUCACUUCCAAAGAAUUCGUAAAGUUUUGUGAAGCAAAUGGAAUUCGAUGCCCUUUACCAGUUCUAAAAUCCCCACAACAAAAUAGUAUUGUAGAAAGAAAGAACAGAACCAUCCUUGACAUGGCAAAAAGCUUGCUUAAAAGUAAGAGGCUGCCUAAAGAAUUUUGAGCUAAAGUUGUUGUAUGUGCAGUCUACUUAUCCAAUCAAUCUCCAACAAAAGCGUGUGGGACAAGACGCCACAAGAAGCUUGGAGUGGAAGAAAGCUCGGCAUAACCCAUCUAAGAGUUUUCGAAAGUAUUGCCCGUGUACAUGUACCAGGUGAAAGUAGAACCAAGCUGGAUCACAAAAGUGAGAAGUUUAUUUUUCAUCGGCUAUGACAACAAUUCGAAAGGAUACAAGCUUUAUAAUCUAAACAACGGGAAGAUCGUGAUAAGUCGGGAUGUAGUUUUUGAUGAAAAAUGAGAAUGGGAUUUUGGCUCUCAUGUGGAUGACUUCAACUUAUUUCCCAUUGAAGAAUAUGAUCAUAUACAAAUAAAACAAGUAGAAGAACAACAAGAGCCAACUACUCCACCUAUCUCACCAGCAUCAACCACAUGUGGAGGUUCACUACAAUCUUUCUUAAAUGAAAGAACCGAAGAACGUAUAAGGAGUCUUCAAUACCUCUAUGAGGUAACUGAGAGACAUGAUAAUCUCACUCUUUUUUGCCUCUUUGUUGAUUGUGAACCAAUCAACUUCCAAGAAACCGCACUAGAUAAGAAGUGGAGAAUUACAAUGGAUAAAGAACUUAAAGCCAUUGUGAAGAAUGAUACUUGGGAGCUUACUACUCUUCCUAAAGGUCACAAGGUGAUCGAUGUCAAAUGGGUCUAUAAAACGAAAAGAAAUGCGAAGGGAGAAAUUGAAAUACAUAAGGUGAGGCUAGUUAUAAAAAGCUAUAGUCAAAAGGCUGGCAUAGACUACGACAAGGUAUUUGAUCUUAUAGCUCGACUUGAAACUAUUAGACUUAUUAUUUCUUUGACUGCUCAGAACAAAUGGAAGAUUUUUCAAAUGGAUGUGAAGUCUGCUUUCCUGAAUUGAUUCCUUGAAGAAGUUUACAUCGAACAACCGUUAGGCUAUGUGGUGAAAUGACAUAAAGACAAAGUUUUGAGAUUGAAGAAAACUCUUUAUGGGUUAAAGCAAUAUGGAAUAGCAAAAUUGACAAGUAUUUUCAAGAGAACGAUUUCACCAAAUGCCCAUAUGAACAUGCUCUCUACGUCAAAGAAAAAGCUGGAGACAUUUUGAUUGUGUGCUUGUAUGUGGAUGAUCUCAUCUUCACUGAAAGUGAUCCAAGCUUAUUUGAAGAGUUCGAGAUGACUGACAUCGGACUGAUGACAUAUUACCUCAACAUUAGUCAAGCAAAAGAAUGAAGGCAUAUUUAUCUCCCAAGAAAGCUAUGCAAAGAAGAUUCUCAAAAAGUUCAAGAUGAAUGAUUGCAAGCCUAUAAGCAUGCCAGUGGAAUGCGGAGUCAAGUUAUCCAAACAUUAUGAAGGCGAAGAUAUAGAUCCAACAUUCUUUAAAAGUUUGGUCGGAAGCCUACGUUAUUUGACAUGCACAAGAACAAAUAUCUUUUAUGUUGUUGGACUUGUGAGUCGAUACAUGGAGAAUCCAAAGACCACUCAUUUUAAAGCUGCAAAAAGAAUCCUUCGCUACAUCAAAUGUACAAUUAAUUUCGGCUUGUUAUACUCAUUUUCUAAUGAUUACAAGCUUGUUGGAUAUAGCGGUAGCGAUUGGGGUGGAGAUGUAGAUGAUCGAAAGAGCACCACAAGAUUUGUGUUCUUCAUAGGAGAUACUGCUUUCCAAUAAAUGUCAAAGAAGCAAUCAAUUGUCACGCUAUCCACCUGUAAAGCUAAGUAUGUAGCUGCCACAUCAAGUGUUUGUCAUGCAAUUUGGCUCAAAAAUUUGCUGAAGGAGUUGGGUUUGCCAUAAGAAGAGCCAAGCGAGAUUUUUGUUGAUAACAAAUCAGCAACUGCCCUAUCCAAGAAUCCAGUCUUUCAUGAUCGAAGCAAACACAUAGAUAUUCGCUAUCAUUUCAUAAGAGAGCGUAUUGCAAGAAAAGAAGUACAAAUCAAGUAUGUAAAAUCACAAGAUCAAGGAGCUGAUAUCUUCACCAAUCCGCUCAAGCAAGAAGACUUUGUAAAAUUCAGAAGUUUGCUUGGUAUCACAGGAUCAAGUUUAAGGGAGGGUGUUGGAUCAUAAACUUGAUCUAAGAUGAAUAAAUUCAAGCUCAAAUACAUAAAAGCUUCUUGUGGUAGGUAUGGUAGGUGUGGUUGGUGAACUAGGUGAGUGGUAGUUUUUAAUGAAUGGUGAGGAUUUAUACAGUAGUUGAAUAAAUGAAUGGUUGUGAUUAGUUUGUUUUAUGUAAAAAUACCCCAUCUCCCCUUUGGUUUAAGCAUCAAGUGAAGUAACAAAAAUCUCUAAGGUGUAAAGAGUGAAAAAUAAGAGUUGUUGGUGGUGAGGAGUGUUGUUGAACAAAUAAAAUAAAUAAAAUAGUAUGUUUUUUGAGUGUUUAAUUUGAUGAUUCUCGAAUAUUACUGUCUGUUUCUAGUUCCGGCUUUGGAGGCCUCACUACAAUUUGUUUGCAUUUCUUUAAUGAAAGCAAGCAGGCCAGCUUAGUCCACUUUUUGUUUUUUCUUCAGUUUGCAGUGAUAUAACUCAUUAAAUGAAGUUCUCGUCUUUCUUAUUUUCAUGUUAAGUCAAUAACAAGCAGAAAAAGUAAAGUUGUGAUUGGUGCAUGAAGAGCAAAUGGAUUUUGACAUAAUAUUGCCUUUUCUAUCCAUACCCGUAUUUGAUUGUCUUUUGAGUCCCACUAGUUAUUGUCCCUUUUGUUUACUAUUGAGAUUCUUCAUAACCAAUUCAUUGAUGGAGAUGCUUGGAAAAUGAUCGUCUAAAAUCCUAAUUACGGUAGUGUUACAAUAUUUUUAAUUACGGAAAAUAAUGAUAAUGUCAUCAUCUUGAUAACAUUCAAUGUUUUUUUUUUAUGGAAAGUGCAAUUUCAUUAACAAUAAAACCAGCAAUUACAGCACCGAGAUUAACUAAGAAGGUGGCACAGAACGCCACUCUUCACGACCUGGCAAAGCAUUUUCCGCUCUAGCAAUAAAGUGAGCAAUAGAAUUCUCAGAUCUUUUGACGAAAGAGAAAACAAUAUCGCCUAUAGAUUCAGCAAUACAUUUGCAAUCCAAAACUAAUGAGCCAAAGCUAUUUAGAGGACUCUUUCGAUCGACUAGAGCAUAAAACGCUUGAAGGCAAUCAGUUUCAAUGAUAACCUUUGACAACUUCAUAGACUUCAGCCAAAGAGAGAGCUUAUGAAUGCUAAGGACCUCAGCAUCACGAGGAGAAUAGUUUCCCCUGAUAUUACAACAAAGAGCAGCAACAAAUUUCCCCGAUUCAUCACGGAUAACACUGCCCAGCCCAACUCUUCCCUCAUCAGCAAAAACUGCAGCAUCAGUGUUACAUUUAAGCCAGCCCACUCGAGGAGGAGACCAAGCAAUAGCACCAGCACCUGGAUCACUUGAGACUUGAUUAAACAUCACAGAGGAUUUAGCUAACUGCCAUUGAAACAAAAAAUUACUAGCUGUAUUAACAAUAUGUUUUGCUGUGUCGCAUUUCCCCUGCCAAACCAGAUUAUUCUUGUUGCUUCAUACCUUCCAGCAGACCAUAACAGCAAUCCAACACUGCUCAUUAGUGCAAUUCCUAAACAAAGCUUGAAGCCAAUCCUUGAAUGAUGAAUAGAUACCAAAGAAGCCCACUUUUGAUUGAAUCCAACAAGUUCUUGCAAAAGGACAGUCAACCAGUAGGUGAAAAAAAGUUUCUUUAUCAGAGUUACUGUUGGACCAAAAAUAAAAUAAGUCUAAUAAGGCCCAUCUAAUAAAUUUCCUCCCAAUUAAGCCCACGAAGUGGUGGACAAAUCACCUAGAAUGAUCCUCCUAAGUAACAAGAUUUCAAAGCCCAAAAGGAGCCAAGGUCCUAGAUUCUUAUCCUAAGACAAAUCACUUAGGAUAAAUCAACUAGGUAGCAAGGAUUUAAAGUCCAAAAGGUGCUGAGGUUCUUGACUCCUAUCCUAGAACAAACCUCCUAAGUUUGAAAGCUCUUAUGAUCUCAAGGUCUUAGUAAAAAUAACCUAAGGAUAAAACGUUCAUUCCUCUAAUCAGUAGACAAGUUUGUAUAUCCAUGUGUCAAUCCACAUGGGCACUAGAGGACAAGUGUUACUAAAUGUCACAAGAACAAUGACAUUUGUCAUCAAAAUAACGAGGACCCAAGCCAAAUCAGUUUGGUCGAUAAAUAUGUCUUUCAUUCUCACUAAAAGGUAAGACAAAAAAAAGAGACUCAAAAGGGAAAAAUGCUAACUUUCUCCCUCUAAUCUUUCUCUUUCUAAAUUUAUAUUUCUAAAAGUCCGGUGAUUGACUUGACCAUCGGAGGGUUUACGCCGGCAAAGCCGGCCCUCUGAUCAUUUCCUUGUGUUUGUAGAGUAUCACAAGACAAGGACCUGCUGAUUGCCUAAGGAAGUGGACUCAGAAGAGCAUAUAUAAAGGCCCAUAAAGAUCAGCCCAAAUAAUGAACUCACCAUCAUAAAAUCUAACAAAGAGGAACCCAAGUCCUAAGGGGGUUGUCCUCAGUCGAAAUUUCCAUAUCAUAAGUUGGGACAAAAUUUGCACCAAUAGUUUGGCGCCGUCUGUGGGGAUCUUCCGAUAAAAGUCUUGGAAGCCCUACCAUGAGCAUGGAUGCUAACAAUGAGUACUAUGAGGCUGAUGAUGAAAGUUCCAGAGUGGAUGAGGAUGUUCACUUCCGAUGAAGGAGACGACAACGAGACCUAGAUGAUGAUGAUGUGGUGCCUAUCCAUCCUCCUCCAGAUCCUCAGUUGAAUCCACCUCGCCACGCUAGACGUCGAGGACAGCCUCGUGUUGUUCGACUUCAACAACAAGUUGAUCAGUUGGCUCGUAACUUUAAUAGAAUGUUCGGCCAAUUUCCAGCUCGAGCUGAGGAAGGUGAGAACUCAAGUAGAGGUAAUGUGGUUGAUUCCGGCUCCUCUAGAACAAGGUCUAGAGAAGAGUUAAAUGAAGAUGAUCUCAGGCAUUCCCUUAACCAAAGAAGAUUUAGGAGGAGAAUGACGAGAGAAGGUUUAGACCAAGGAGAGGAAGUCAAAAGAGGAUUACAAGAAAUGAUGCAGAGACUUGAGCAAAUGGUUCGAGAAAUGGGUCCACUUGAUGAUGUAAUAGCAGAACAUGAGCCACCAUUUACUUUUGAUAUAAUGGUGGCAAAAUAUCCACCUAGGUUUCAUUUACCCCGAAUGGAGCCUUAUGAUGGGCAGAGGGAUCCAACUGAGCAUUUAGAAUUGUAUCGCAUCCUUAUGGAAGUGCAAGGAGCAUCACAAGCAAUUCUUUAUCGGGCUUUUCCUGUUACCUUAGUAGGAGCAGCACGAAGAUGGUUCCGAAGGUUGCAGCCACACUCCAUCUCAUCCUUUGGAGAUUUGAGUAGAGAAUUCACCUCUCACUUCCGAAGUGCCCGACAAAGAGGAAAACCAGUGACUUACCUAUUGACCGUCAAACAACAGGAAGGGGAGACCUUAAGAGACUACAUCAGAAGGUAUAAUAAUGAGAUCACCUAAGUAGAUGGUUACGAUGAUGGCAUAGCACUUUCUGGUAUUAUGGAAGGGCUCGGGAUGGGAAAGCUAUGGUGGUUAGUUUCAAAAAGACCACCCACUUCUUACUCUGAGAUGCUUGCGAGAGUUGAGAAAUAUGCCAAUGCGGAAGACAGAUUCAAGAACAGAAAUCAAGAGAAAGGAGAACCAACCAAAGGAAAGAAAAAGAAAGAUGAUCGGAGAGAAAGAAGAGUUGUCAGACCUGAUCCAUCUCUAAGAAGAGACCAAUUUCGUCCUGGGGAACGCUCUGAAGUCCGAGGCAGUCGUCCUCGGUUAGCCUCUCAAUUCACUAACUUUACAGAACUUAAUACUCCUCGGGAGCAAAUUCUCAUGCAGGUAAGAAAUCCAACUUUGUUUAGAACCCCACCUCCUAUGAGGACAAAUCCAUCCCGAAGAAAUCCAAACAAGUAUUGUCAUUUUCAUAAAGAUCAUGGACAUGACACCUCCGAGUGUUUUGAGCUUAAGGAACAAAUAGAAAGCCUAGUUCGACAAGGGCAACUACAGGAGUAUGUAAGAAAUCUCGAGGAUCGAGUAAAGAGUGAGCAACUAGAAUCUUCAAAGAAGAGAAAAGGAAAAAAGAAGGAAGAUAGUGAUGAAAGCAUGUAUGAUGUCAAUCACAUUUGGGGAGGGCCGGCUGUAGGAGACUCCAGGAAGUCAAGGAAAAAUCUAGCUCGCCAAGCAAGACAUGAACCCAAUGGUCCCGAGGUUAAUUUGACUAAUCAAUCUCAAGGAUCAAUGGUUCGUGGUAUACCAAUAAUCUUCUCCGAGGAUGACGCUAGGGGAGUUCAUCAUCCUCACUGUGAUGCUUUAGUCGUCACCCUCCCAGUGGCAAAUAAACGUCUUCAUCGGAUUCUUAUUGAUAAUGGGAGUUCAGCUGAUAUUUUAUUCUUGUCAACCUUCGCUCGAAUGGGGUUAGAAUGAUCACAGCUAAAACCUUACACGACUCUACUUCAUGGUUUCGCAGGAGGAAGUAUAGUUCCUGAAAGAGUUAUAGAGCUCAUAGUGUCUUUCGAAAAAAGCCCAACUAAGGUGACCACUAUGGUUAACCUUAUUGUGGUUUAUCAACCAAGUUCCUAUAAUGUUGUCUUAGGAAGGCCGACUCUUUAUGCUUUAAAAGCAACAACUUCAAUUUAUCAUUAUGCGUUGAAGUUUCCAACUGAAGCUGGGGUUGGAGUCGUGCGAGGAGAAUAAAAAGAAGCAAGGGGGUGUUAUGAGAUAGCGUUCAGGAUGGGCAAAGAAACUCUUCAAAUCACAAGCCUUGAUCCUAGGACAGUAAAAGAUUAUCAAAGGGCGAGCCCAGUUGAUGACUUGGAAGACUUUCCACUUGGUGAAGAUUUGAGUAAAAUCGUGAAGAUUGGGGGUCGAUUGCCUGAUCCGCUGAAGAAGCAGCUUGUUAGCUUUCUGAAAGAAUAUCAUGAUGUGUUUGCUUGGAUGCAUAAUGAUAUGUCAGGCAUUGAUCCUUGGGUAGUGGUACAUCGUUUAAGUACUAACCCAAAGAUGAAACCAAUUCGACAGAAAAGAAGAAGUCUGAACGCCGAAAGAUCUCUGGCCGUAAAGGAAUGAGUAGAUAAACUUCUCAAAGCUGGUUUUAUCAAGGAGGCAAGGUAUCCUGAUUGGCUAGCUAAUGUUGUGAUGGUGAAGAAAGCUAAUGGGAAGUGGAGGAUGUGUGUAGACUUUACUGAUCUUAACAAAGCUUGCCCUAAUGAUAGUUUUCCUUUACCGAGGAUUGAUCAACUAGUGGAUGCUACAGCUGGGCAUGGACUGCUAAGCUAUAUGGAUGCAUACUCAGGAUAUAAUCAAAUAAGGAUGCAUGAACCUGACCAAGAAAAGACCGUAUUUAUCACAUAUCGAGGUCUCUAUUGCUAUAAAGUUAUGCCAUUUGGACUCAAGAACGCUGGAGCCACCUAUCAAAGGUUGGUAAACAGUAUGUUCGUUCAACAAAUUGGGCAUACCAUGGAGGUUUAUGUAGAUGAUAUGCUCACCAAGAGCCUUAACCCUGAAGAUCAUGUAAAAGACUUCCGGGAAACCUUUGAUAUCCUUAGGAAGUACAAGAUGCGGUUAAAUCCAACUAAAUGUGCAUUUGGUGUGUCGUAAGGAAAAUUCCUUGGCUUUGUGGUAAAUCAAAGAGGUAUUGAGAUCAAUCCUGAGAAGAUCCAAGCAUUGGUUAAUAUGAAGUCUCCAAAGAAUGUUAAAGAAAUUCAAAGGUUGACGGGUCAAGUAGCAGCCCUGAAUCGCUUUGUCUCUCGAGCUACAGAUAAGUGCCUUCCUUUUUUUAAGGCUCUUAGAAAAGGAAAAGAGAUAAAGUGGACUGAGGAAUGUGAAGAUCAAAAGCUUAAGGAAUAUUUAGGAAGCCCUCAUUUGCUUGUUAAGCCAAUCCAAUGCGAGUAUCUCUUCAUUUAUCUUGCAAUGUCUGAACAUGCCACUAGCUCUAUCCUUGUCCGAGAAGAUGAUGGAGUGCAAAGGCCUAUCUACUAUACAAGUAGAGGGUUGGUUGAUGCAGAAACAAGGUAUCUAAGUCUUGAAAAGAUUGUUCUAGCCUUGAUUGUUUCAGCAAGAAGGUUAAGGCCUUAUUUCCAAGCUCAUACCAUAAUCGUCCUCACUGAUCAACCAAUUAGACAAGUUUUAGCUAAGCCUGAUAUUUCAGGAAGGAUGACAAAGUGGGCUAUUGAACUUAGGGAGUUUGACAUCUUAUAUCAUCCUAGGACAUCAUUAAAAGGGCAAGCAGUGGCAAACUUCAUUGAUGAGUUUACUGAAGGAGAUAUUAUAUCACUUGAUUCUAAAGAGGAGCAUCAAGAUAAAUGGUCUCUCUAUGUCGAUGGAUCCUCUAGUAAACGAGGAUGUGGUGCAGGUUUUAUAGCAAUCACUCCAAACAAUGUUGAGAUUGGAUGCGCUCUUAGGUAUGGCUUCAAUGCUACCAACAAUGAAGCAGAGUAUGAAGCUCUUCUGGCUGGCCUUAGGCUAGUUCAAGCCUUAGGUGCAAAGGAUUUACUUGUCUUUAGUGACUCUCAAUUGGUAGUUAAUCAAGUGAAUUGCAACUAUACAGCUCGGGAUUUCAACAUGAUUGCAUAUCUUGAUCGAUUUAAUAAGUUGUUAAGGGACUUCAAUUGUGAGGUGAAGCAAAUUCCUCGGGAGCAAAACACACGAGCUGAUGCAUUAGCUCAACUGGCUUUCUCACCAGAAAAAGACUUACUGAGAUCAGUUCCAGUAGUCAUCAUUCCCGAGCCAAGCAUAAUUAAAUGUGAAGAAAAGGAAGUGGCAACCAUUGACCAUCGGAGUUCCUGGAUGGACCCAAUUAUGAGUUAUCUUAUGAAUGGAACUUUACCUGAGGACAAGAAUGAAUCAAAAAAGGUGAGAUACUGAGCUACAAGGUAUGUGAUCAUGGAUAAUCAACUUUACAAACAUGGAUAUUCACUUCCUCUUCUCAAGUGUUUGACACCCGAAGAUGGAGAUAAUGUCUUACGUGAAAUCCAUGAGGGGAUAUGUGGAAAUCAUUCUGGAGGAUGAGCACUUGCCUACAAAGCUAUGAGACAAGGAUACUUUUGGCUGACGAUGCAACGAGAUGCCUUGGAGUUAGCAAAAAAGUGUGAUAAGUGCCAAAGGUUUGCUAUUAUACCCAAGCAACCUCCAGAGAAGUUAACUCAUCUCCUCACUUCUUGGCCAUUUGCCCAAUGGGGGGUUGAUCUAAUUGGUCAUCUGCCAAAAGGAAAGAGGCAAGUAAGGUUUGCUAUAGUUGCCAUUGAUUACUUCACAAAGUGGGUGGAAGCUGAGCCUUUGGCAACUAUUACUGAGAAGAAAACUACCGACUUUAUUCAGAAGAACAUCAUAUGUCGGUAUGGCGUACCUCAUACUAUAAUCACUGACAAUGGGAGGCAAUUUGACAAUGACAAAUUUCGUGAGUUUUGUAGAAAGCUUAAGAUAAAAAAUGGUUACUCUUCUCCUGCCCAUCCUCAGGCUAAUUGACAAGUUGAAGCUGUCAAUCGAGUGAUUAAGCAAAUUCUGAAGGCUAAGUUAGAGAAAGCCAAAGGAGCAUGGCCAGAUGAAUUACCAUUCGUCCUAUGGUCUUAUCGAACUACACCAAGGACUCCUACAGGAGAAUCUCCCUUCUUAUUGGCAUUUGGUGCAGAAGCUGUCAUCCCUGCUGAAAUAAGAACGCCGACUUAUCGAGUACAACACUUUGAUCCUGUCAUCAAUGAUGAGCUACAACGCCAAAGUUUAGACCUCUUAGAAGAAAAGAGGGAUCAUGCUAUGAUCAAGGUCGCUGCCUAUCAAGGCAAAGUAGCUCGUUACUACAUUGCUCGAGUUAAAAUUCGGAAGUUCAGAAUUGGAGAUCUUGUUCUAAAGAAGGUUUUGCCUAAUGCUCAAGAACUAGGUGUUGGCACCUUGGGUCCUAACUAGGAUGGACCUUACAUAAUCAGAGAAGUAGUUAGGCCAGGAACUUAUAUUUUGUCUACCUUAGGUGGAAAGAUCUUGAGGCAUGCUUGGAAUGCUGAGCAUCUCAGGAUUUACCAUCAAUAGUAUGAUCUUGUACUUAUAUAAGUCUGAUCUUUCCUCAAUGGUCAGACAAGUUUUGUAAAGACAAAAUGCGGAUGAAUAAAAGACUACUUCUCCCAGUCAAGUAAAUUCUCCAUGAGAUGUUAAAAAAAAAAAAAAAAAAAAGUUGUGACAAUGAUGAAUGUCCUUGGAUCGAUUCUAAAUUUUCAUAAACUUAACAGAUGAAAAUUUUGUAUCUUUAUUCAAGUUCAACAAAACAAAUGAGCAUCUUAUUUCAAGGAUAAAAACUAGGACCCAAGUCAAAUCAGUUUGGUCGAUAAAUAUGUCUUUCAUUCUCACUAAAAGGUAAGACAAAAAAAAAGAGACUCAAAAGGGAAAAAUGCUAACUUUCUCCCUCUAAUCUUUCUCUUUCUAAAUUUAUAUUUCCAAAAGUCUGGUGAUUGACUUGACCGUCAAAGGGUUUAGCUGGCAAAGCCGGCCCUCUGAUCAUUUUCUUGUGUUUGUAGAGUAUCACAAGUAAGGACCUGCUGAGUGCCUAAGGAAGUGGACUCAGAAGAGCAUAUAUAAAGGCCCAUAAAGAUCAGCCCAAAUAAUGAACUCACCAUCAUAAAAUCUAACAAAGAGGAACCCAAGUCCUAAGGGGGUUGUCCUCAGUCGAAAUUUCCAUAUCAUAAGUUGGGACAAAAUUUGCACCAACAGUUACAAACUAGGCAAAGAUCAUUUAUACUUCCAUGUUUGGAGCGAAGAUUGACUGUUGUUUAUAGGACGUUCAAGAUCGCUAGCAAGGGAUAUUUAAUGUUAAUAAUUAAUUAACAUUCAAUAUCGCUAGCAUGGUAUAUGUACUACUAAAAGUAGAAUUAUUUUUUUCCUUUUAGUUUAUAGAAUUAAUAGUUAGAUUAGGGAUGGAAAACUCCGGGUCCGGGUCCGGGUUUAGCCUUUCCGGAUCCGGACCUGGAUACUAUUUUCCUUUCCCGGACCCGGAUUUUAACCCGGAUUUUUUCACCCGGACCCGGGUCCGGGUUCAACCCGGAAAAAUCCGGGUUUUCGGAUUCCGGGUUUUGAACCCGGAUCAAUGAAUCAAUAUCAAUUUCUAAAAUUCUAAAAAUAAAAAAUUAAUAUAUUUCCAAGCAAUAACACAUCUAGAUUAAUCAAUAAAAUUAAUUAAAAAAUAAUAUUAAAAUUAAUUAUCCGGGUCCGGGUUCCGGAUGUCCGGGUUAACCUAAACCCGGACCCGGACCCGGAUAUAUCCGGGUUAUUAAAAUUUAUUCCGGACCCGGAUUUUUUUACAUUCCGGUACGGGUUCAACCCGGCCCGGAUUAUCCGGGUUUGUCCGGGUCCGGGCCGGGUCCGGGUUAUUUUGCCAUCCCUAAGUUAAAUAUUUAUUAGAAUGGCAUGGAUUAGCCUAUUAUAUAGCAGAGUUCAGAUAUUUAGAUUAGCCAUUUAUAUAACUAGUAACAGUUGAAAAUCCCCCAUAGGAGCAGUAAUAAUGUUAUUGAGAUAAAACCACAUCAUGAAUUCAUUUUAUUUUAUUUUUUCAAGUUUUUAUUAAAGGGGAAGGAGCAUAGCCCAAACAUUAUUUUUAACUCAUAUCUUUUUUAGGAGUUCAACUCGAAUGACUAAUUAAACAAAGAAAUUGAAAGUCGUUCAACUGCAUUUUAAGGUAAAUUAUAAAUAAUGUUAUCCUAAUUAGAAAAUAGGUAAAGAGACUUUAGUGGUCAAGAAUAUUGCUGGUCUUGAGUCACUGCUUUGGUGAAAAACAACAUUUUUUUUUUGAACAAAUGUUUUUCAACAAUUUCAACUUUUUGAUAUAAUUAAACGAAUGUCAUAAAGGGGUUUUUGUUCGUGAUGAAAGUUAGACUCUUGCAAGUACAUCAUUUCAUGGUAGCUAAAAUGUUUUUAUAAAAAUGAAAAAAAUAAAAAUUUGACCGAAGUUGUCCACUCCAAUUCCCCAGAAAAAGAAAAGGCUGCGGUGACUUUCCUAUCUGUAUCUAGGGUUUUAGAUCAUUUGACAAAAUACACAGCAGCUGCAAUACAUUAAUAAUCAUAUUAAUAAUUACAGCUUGCUGCAGUGAUCUGAAGUCUGGCCAGAUGGAUUCUUUCCUUUUAUAAUCAUUUACAAAUUCUCAAUUUUCUUUGGCUUUUGUUUCUACUUUUAGCUUUAAAUUAAAAUUUUCCCAUAUCUUUUUUCUUCAUUGAAGCAAUCUGAAUCAUAUCUUUCACUUCAGUUUUCUUCAGUACUUUUGACUCUAAAAGCACCGAAAAUUUUCAAUCGUGUAUUGGUUUCUUUCUCAGUUUGCACUAACAUUUUCGUGCUAUUAAAGUGAUGGACUUGUUUGAAGAAAUUUAAAAUGCUAUUAGGUCUUGCUCUUUCCACAUGCAUGGUGAAUAGAAACCUAAAACGUGAAAGAGAUUUUUACUCUUCAAUGUGAUGGGGAUAUAAAGUGCUAACUUCUUCACUUCAAAGUUCAAAUUAUAGGGAGUGGGCACAUAUAAUUUCAUUUAUGAUUAGGAAGCUAUAGGGAGUGGCUGUCAAUUAAAAUGUUAGAUUAAAGAAACCUUACACAUUAAACUUACAAUUGAAAUAUCAGGCGUAGAACUUGAAAUGUUAACUUGAUACGUAUAUCAAGAAGCACCUAUUAGUUUAGUAGUUCUCAUCUCAAUAUUCAAUUGGCUUGUGGGGAUAAAAUUCUCUUAAAUUAGAGAGUAAAUAAAUGCCACUUUGAGCUUGGAAUUAAUGACCUAGCUAGAUGUAGAGGGUAACUAGGUUUAGUAAACUUAUUCCAAUGUCCUCAUUGAGAAUAAAGAAUUAAAAAUAAAAUAAAACAUUUUUUCAUACAUCUUACUUAACAUGUCUUUCUUUUUAUGUCUAUGUUUGUUUAUCCAUGUAGCUGAAGACUGAGGGAUCAUGAAAACUAAUGAGAUAACAUAAAUGAUAUUUAAUAAAGAAAUAAAAUUGUUUAUUAAACUUCAGCUCCCUCUUUUCUUAUUCCUCUUUUUUUCCCAAAAACAAUUUCAAACAAUUAUACUAAAUAAUUAGAAAUUUAUGUGUUAUGCACGUAGCAGCAUAAGGUCAACCAUUGAUAGGUACAAGAAGGCAUGUUCGGAUAAUUCAAAUUCUGACACUGUUACUGAGAUAAAUGCUCAGGUAAAUAAUUCAUUAAUUUAAGCUAUAAAUUCAGGCUUUACUAGGAAUAUAUGCUAUUAUGAAAAGGUUAAAAAAAAAAAAAAAAAAAAAAAAGCCAACUAAUUAUCAUUGGUUACCACAUAGCUAGCAUUGAAAUAAAAAGUUCCCAAUAAAAAUUAAACUUCUCCAAUUACAUGUGACCCAUGGAAACAGUACUAUCAGCAGGAGUCAGCAAAGCUGCGGCAGCAAAUUCAAAUCUCACAGAAUUCGAACAGAUAUUUUCAAUUAUUUCAUCAACAAUCAUUUUCAUAUUAGGUGUCGUUAAUUUUUUAUUCCAAAAUAUACAAUUUCAAUUGAAUUUUCAAUUGGUUAUCUCACUCUUGACUCUUCAUAUCGGCAUCUGAUGUGUGAUUCUCUGAGUUCUUUAACUGUAAAGGAGCUUAAGCAACUGGAGAACAGGCUUGAGUGAGGCAUCACUAGGAUCAGGUCCAAGAAGGUAAUUAAUUAAUUGCAUUAUGCAUACAAAAAAUAAUUGAAUUUGAGCAAUACACCAUUGUUUUGCAACAAUACAUUGCAUAAACUUUAUCGAUGUACAUUCAAUAUAUGUAAUUUAUGUCAUUUUGAAAAUAAUUUGUUGCUUUGUCUGUUUCCUAAAAUUGAGUUCUUGUAGAAAAGGGUAAUAAUUAAAGUUCAUUAAAUCCUGUUUAGCCUUUUUUUUCGUUUUCUUCCAAGCUUUUAUGGAACUCUGUGACAUUUUCAUUUUCAUAGGAGGUUGAGCUGGAAAAUGAAAGCGUGCGUCUCCGAUCAAAGGUAUGCAAAUCAAUCCUUUGUAUGUAUAAUGCAUUUGUUCUCGCCCUCUUCCAAAAUUUCAGCACGUUAUUAAAAUUUCGUUGUUUCUGAAACUCAGAUAGCAGAAAUGGAAGGGUUUCAGCAAGCAAACAUGGCGACUGGGCAAGAGCUGAAUGCAAUCCAUGCAUUAGCUUCUCGGAAUUUCUUCAGUCCUGCUAUUAUCGAGGGUGGCGGCUUUGCUCACUCUCAUCCGGACAAGAAGAUACUCCAUCUCGGGUAAUUAAUUCUCCCAUCACAUUUCAUUUCUAUGAGCUCGUGUUGAGCGUGCAUCAAUGUUUUCUCCCGUUUGCAAGAGAUCAAGCUUGUGGCAUCUCAGUACGAGAUCUACGAUCAGAAUAUCAUUAUCUACUGAAUGUGUGUGCUACUUGAUACCUAUUUUUGAAACCAGCAAUAUAUGAAAUUGGAUGAAUUUAUGUGUAACCUAAUUACUUAGGCUGACUUAUCAUUGGCAUCUUCUCUUUGGGAGACCAGUUAUUAUGCUGAAACUUAAUAUCUAUAAAACUUUCAAAACUGAGGCUGUGUGAUGUCGAAGGAUUUGCAUUAUGAGCUAGUUGAACUAUGGUGCGUAUCAGAGAAGGGUCAUAGGCUUGGUGGUUUUAUUGCAAGUCUUUCGGAUAUUAGGAUUACUCUGUUAGUCGGUUUGAAUUUUUGGGAAAGUCAUGAUUGUUAGAAGGGCACAUUUUGGGUAGUAUCUGCUACAAAUGUGAAAACAAUAUAGCGUUCGUUAAGAGCUCAAUGAGGAGAAAAGGAAUCAGAUCUCUUCGGAUCCACCGUGUAAGAAAAGAUUCUAGACGGCUCCAUAAAUGAAACUUCAUUUGAUGUCAAUACCGUUUUUUCAUGUAGUACUAUCUUAAGACCGCACUCGAGAUUGGACUGUGAACAUUUACAUAACAGAAGAUAUAAGCGUCUGGACUGCGAACAUUUACAUAAUGGCACACCACCUAUCAGAUGUGCUAGAGGGCUUCGGCGGAGGACUUGCAGGUGGCCUGGGGGGCUCCCGCGGAGGACUUGCAGGUGGCCUAGGGGGCUCCGGCGGAGGAUUUUCAGAUGGCUUAGGGGGUUCCGCAGUCUCCUUUUCAGUACUUCGAGAUUGAAUUUCGUCUUUUAACUUCAUUUCAGCUAAUUGUGCUACCUCUUCUGCCCUUAAUCGAGCAGCUUGCUCCUUUGCCAAUUGCUGUUCGAGCCUAGUUGUUGUCUCUUUGAGCCCAGACUCAACCUAUCAAAAAAGCAUCAAUAUUAGUCAGAAAACAUGCCACUAAGCCCUAGAGUAGCAGCACAAUACAAAAAAAUUGGGUAUUGGUAAUAUAAAACUCCAACUUAAGAGAAGAAAAUUCUUAAGUAUCAAUUUAGUUUAAUUCAAUUGCAAAGCGAGUUGCUAAGUUCACCAUACUCGGCACAACUUUAUGACCAAUCAAUUCCACUCUCAAUCAUUGAUAAAUGGUAGAAACAAGAGCUUAAAAAAAUAAACACAUAAAUCCAAAAUAAAAGUGUUAAAGAAUCUGCUAACUUUUUCAUUUUGCCAUACUCCAGGAUUGUCGAGAAUAAAACUUAUUAGCACCUCCGACAUAUAAUCAUUACACAGAAUGUUACAGAAAAUCCAGAUUAUUGUUGAAUAGGAUAUGGCUUAAUGCCGAAUCAUUCUAUUGCCUUGCAAUAAAUUAAAACUGUGGAAAGGAAAAUCAAAACUACGCAGCCAUUUGAUUAGGUUUCACGUGCGUAACUAUAUUUUCAUAAAAACUUAUUGUGAAUAUGGCUAUUCUAUUUUUUUAACAAAAUUAAAUUAUGACAUAACCUGCUCGUAACAUUUCAAUUGUUCCCACAGUAUUACAAGAAAUGUUCUCAUGAUUGAUGACUAAACAAGUGCAGAAUCCACCUUAGUGUAAGUCAUGAUUAGUAAACCACCUUAAUUUCAUCAACAAAAAACAGAGCAGGACCGUCAAACAAUCUUCAAGGUAAGAACAGCAUGUUACGGCCUUCAAAACAUAAUGAGUGAACAAAUAAUAACAGAUUUGUCCACAUCAAGUAGCAAGAUAAGGCCUCUUUUCAUAUGGCAAUCUCCAACAAUCUAGGGGUACGGACAGAGCGGCAGUCUUUACAACCUCCAAGUCUAACAAUUUAGAAUAUCGUUACAGGUACGUGCAGGCUUUAUAGUCAUUUUUUAAUUACACAGUUUGAGAAAUGAUUACCCGAUUUGAGAGAUGAACACAUAUGCAUGUCAUAUUUUGAUGCCAAAACAUGGAGCAUAAAAAAUACCAUCUCAGCCAUUCGUUUGAUUCGAUCUUCAUAUGAUUCCUGCAUCUGGCCCAUCAGCUUUGAAAUUUCUCGUUUUGAAUAUUCCUUGAGAGAAUCAACCUCAGCUUUUUGAUCACGGAGUUCAGUGGCCCCUCUCUGAGUAGAAAAAAAGAAAAAGAGAUAUUGUCAUGACAUAUUCAGAAAGAAGCAGCACAGAAGUCUAUCCCGAUAGUAAUGAAGUCACCUUCAACUCGUCCGUAUAUGGCUGCCCACCAUUCUGCACGAUCACAGAGUUAACCAGAGAAAGAAGCUGCCGAACCUGCUCGGUUCCCUUGGCCUCAUCCUUGGUCUUGUUAUCAAAAAGCACGCACCUAUUAUCACAUAGUUGAAGGAUUUCCUAAAAUAAUUGGAAAAUGAUCAGGAAUAAAGCAAAUGUUAGCUCCUUUCGGUAAGCAUUGAUGAACCAAUCAAACACUUGUAGUCUCUAAAAGUUUGAGGAUAUUAAGCUGACAAAAUUUGUUUUUAUUGUGAUCGUUAGUACUUAAUAUCAGGCAUCCUCAAAAACUAUUUAAUAAUCAAUUCCAUUCUCCUUAUGGUUUGACCACUUACAUAACCUCUUACGUCCAUCAAAUUUUAAAAUCUUAAAAGGUGAUCAGCAUUCCAUAUAACAUAAGUAGUAGUAGUAGGAAUAAUAAUAAUAAUAAUAAGUACAAUAAGUAAAACAAAGUUCCCUUUAACUGUAAAAUAACCGGAUUUUGUUAAUUGCAAAGCUACAACUUAAAGGGGUCUUUAUUUUCAUUUUUGUUAUUUUUCUUCCCACUCCUCAUAGGUUGAAUCAAGUAUGCAGUAAAAUAGAAGAACUUGAUAUAAAUCUUUCUCAAGUUAAAAAAUUUUAGGAACCAAAAUCAUCAAGUAAAUUCUGAAAAUAAGAGAUUUGCAUGUUGAAACUGAAAAAAGAUCUCACAUUGAAAUUUCAGACACCAAUUCUGAGCCUAGAAUCCACAUGAACUUUUAAGAGAAUUUUAAAUCUUGUAAAGUUAGUCUUGAUAUUUUAUUCAAACAACGCCGAAUAAAAUGGACCUGUAUAGCAAGUCACAUCCUCUUUGGGCCACUUUUAAAAUCUUAAAAGUAGGUUAAUUUUGAGCGUAUAAUCAAAGAGGUACAUAUUUUGAGAAACAAACAAAUGAACACACCUUAAUAGAAUAAGAACCAAGAUUAAAUCGCAGAGGAAAUCAAAGAAUACAAAUAAGAAAAGCAAAAAUGUUUAGCGAAUGAAUGAAUGAUAUCUCAUUCGAAGACAAUAACGUAUAAGUAAAAUUAAGUAACGCCAGCAGAAAAUUACCAAUCACCUCUCCGGCCAAUCCCGCAUGGCAGAAGAAAACCAUUCACGAAAUGAAGCACCAUUGAAAAUGGAACUUUAAGACGGCUGGCCUACUAUAAAGCUAUCUAGUAUUUUCAGCAUGCAUAUAUUCAUAUUAAACUUCCAAUAGUCCAACCGUAAAGGAGUCUAAAACUUCACAAAAGAACCAGCCAAAGACAACUUGAUCAAAAUGACUGAUGAAAUUAUCGAACACUAUAAGAGUUCAGAAACAAACCUUUAAAGGCUUUGGACACUCAUGACCCAAAAAAUCUUCUAAUGUUUUCUCAUGAUCUUCAAGAUCAUCCCCUCCAGUGAAAACAACAAUCAUAUAGUCAAAAACAUUUUUCCCGAACAAGUUCGGCAAACGGUGUACUGCAGUUUCUUCCUCUUGAGAAAAACGGUUUGUAACAGAGAAAACUACAAGGAAUGCAUGGAUGCCAUCCUUGGCCAUACCGAGACAUUUGACAAUUUCCUUGCCGACAAACUCAGAGCCAGCAGACAAAUCAAAAAGCCCUGCAAUGGCUCGUAACAUCAAUCUACUUACCAUCACAACAUCAACAAGCAUGGAAUGGAAUAUCUAGGAACCAACAUUAGCAAAUUACCGGGGGUAUCAAUGACAUUAACAACUUGGCCAUCUUUGAGCACGGUUGUCUUCAUUUCACAAGUUUUAGUAACACCAGACGAGCCAGCACUCGCCUUGAAGGCUUUUCUCCCGAGAAUACUAUUGCCCGUCGCACUUUUGCCAUUGCCAGUACGGCCAAGUAAAACCACAGUGCGCUCCCCAUUAGAUGGAGAAGUAGGCUUCCAAUCGCCAUCAACCACUCUUUCUCCCAUCCUAAAAAAAAAAUCAAUUUACCUGCAAUGCAUUUACAAUAUCAAACCACUUUCACAUUGAAUUCAAUUUUUAUCAUUAAAGAAUAAGAAAGAAAACUUAGUUACCAUUCCCAUACAAUUUCACUCCAUUAAAACUUAUAUUUGAUAUUACUUUAAAUAUUAUCCAACCGAACAUGAAUAAAUUCAUUAAAAAAAUUAAAAAUAAAAAUCACUCAGACCCCGACCAUAUAGUUAAAUUUAUAAUCAUAAUAAAAUAUGAUGAAUUGCUAUAUAAUCAAGCACGGAAUCUAAACAGCAUCAGUUAAUUAAUUAAUUAUGCUGAUGUAUUAUUUAAUUUAAUUAUGCUUGUUUCACGAAAUUAUUGAAAAAAAAACGACAACGAUCAAUUAUGCAUAGUGGCGGACCCAGAUACUUAAAUUAGGGGGAUUAGUUCAAAACAUUUUAUUUAAUUUGGGGUUUUUUUUUAAUGUUCACAUGAAUACAUUUUAAAUCUCAUAAACUCAAAUUUCAUUAUUUUCUUUUAAAUUUUAAAUAAUAAUAGUAAUAAACUUUUUAUUUUAAAUGCAUAAAAGUAUCAUUUUUCUAAGUAAUUUUCAAAAACUAUUUAUAAAAAGAAACAAAAUAAUGUGGCUAUUGGGAUUUAAACCAGGACUUUAAAACCAUCAAAUAGCACUCUUAUCAUUGAACCAUAAGUCUUUUGUUACAUAAAAUAUGUGUCCAAUUUUUUUUAUUUAAUUCUUUUAGAAAGGGCGUGGGGUAUAUUUAAAAGAAAAAUUAAUGGCCUAAAAGGGGCUGAAGCCCCUCCUGGGCAUUAAUUGGGUCGCCCAUGAUUAUGCAUUACAUCCGAUAAAAUUUACAAACCGAGGUAAAGAAAAUCGAGUCUACAACAAACAAAAAAACCAGAAAUUGAGAUUGAGAGGAAAAUGCGAGGGCAAUUUGAAGAAAGCAAAGUAUGAAAACAGACUGUGAGAUGAUGCGAUGAACUAAGAUUUUACUUACUUGCAAAGAGAGGAGAACAAAAAAGAUUGCAUUGCGUAUGAAGAGAUGAGAAAGGGGAAGAGACUUGAUUUAAAUUUUAGGAUUUAAGGUAUGAAAUUUAUAAAUUGAGUAAUGAAUGUAAUAGGAAGUUGAGAAGUAAAGGAUGUAAGAGAGUUUAAAUAGAAAGUUAAGAAAUAAAAGAUGUAAGAGAGUUUCAAUAGAAAGUUGAGAUGUAGAAAAGAAUCUAAAGAGUUUGAAGAAAAGAAUAUAAGAGAGUUUAAAUAGAAAGUUGAAAUGUAGAAAAGAAUCUAAAAGAGUUUGAAGAAAAGAAUAUAAGAGAGUUUAAAUAGAAAGUUGAGAAGUAAAGAAUAUAAAAGAGUUUAAAUAGAAAGUUGAGAAGAAAAGAAUCUAAAAGAGGAAUGAACAUGCAAUUUCCCUCUUUUGCCUUUCAUUAUUUCAUCACUUUUAUUAUUAAGGAAGUUGUUAAUAUUUUUUCUAUUAGAACUAAUAUAUAUCACUUAUUUAUUACUAGUUUUAUAAUAUAAAAAAUUCAUUUCAUUUAUAAUAAUUAUGAAUAAAAGUUUAUUUAAAAAUAAAAAUUAUACUAUAAAAUUAUACUAAUAAAAAAUUAUUGUGCAUUAUAAAGGUAAUACUAAAGUAAUUAAUAUAUAUUUAUUUGAAAAAAGGAAAGCUUACAAUUUCCCAUUAUUAAUAUUAUUGAUAAUCUUUCUUUAUUAAAUCAGCAUAUUCAUACUACAUAGGGGCUUUUUGGUCAUUUUAUACGUCAAGGCCCCUAAGGGCAUCUCCAAAGCUUUAACACCAUUUUGGUGUAACACCAACACCAAAAAUUUACUUUUUUCAAUAGAAAGUUGAGAUGUAGAAAAGAAUCUAAAAGAGUUUGAAGAAAAGAAUAUAAAAGAGUUUAAAUAGAAAGUUGAAAUGUAGAAAAGAAUCUAAAAGAGUUUGAAGAAAAGAAUAUAAGAGAGUUUAAAUAGAAAGUUGAGAAGUAAAGAAUAUAAAAGAGUUUAAAUAGAAAGUUGAGAAGAAAAGAAUCUAAAAGAGGAAUGAACAUGCAAUUUCCCUCUUUUGCCUUUCAUUAUUUCGUCACUUUUAUUAUUAAGGAAGUUGUUAAUUUUUUUUCUAUUAGAACUAAUAUAUAUCACUUAUUUAUUACUAGUUUUAUAAUAUAAAAAAUUCAUUUAAUUUAUGAUAAUUAUGAAUAAAAAUUUAUUUAAAAAUAAAAAUUAUUCUAUAAAAUUAUACUAAUAAAAAACUAGUGUGCAUUACAAAAGCAAUACUAAAGUAAUUAAUAUAUAUUGAUUUGUAUAAAGGAGAGCUUACAAUUUCCCAUUAUUAAUAUUAUUGAUCAUCUUUCUUUAUUAAAUCAGCAUAUUCAUACUACAUAGGGGCUUCUUGGUCAUUUUAUACGUCAAGGCCCCUAAGGGCAUCUCCAAUGCUUUAACACCAUUUUGGUGUAACACCAACACCAAAAAUUUACUUUUUUCACACCAAAUUACUAUUUCAUCUCCAACCCAUUUGCACCAAAUUUUAUACCAAAAAGAAUAUUCUUCUUUUUCUUCUUUUAAUUCUCAAGAAUUAAUUCAAUUAACACACUAAAUAUUACUAUUAAUAUAGAUUAAGUAUUAAGUAAUUUUAUAUCGAUUAACAAAAAAAAUAGAAAAUUAUUAAAUUUGCCUUUAAUUAACUAAAUUAGUGCAUUAUGAAAAUUAAACAUUACAUUAAUAUAAAAAAAUACGAUAACAAUAAUAAUACUCUAGUUAUUCGAAUUACUAAAUUCAUCACAUAAAUGAUUAAUUAGUGCAUUUCGGAGUAUAAGGUGAGCCUCUUUAUCCUUGAUUUUUUUGUGUCGAGCAAUAAAUUCUUGAAAUCUAGUACUCUCAUCUACCCUCAUAUCAAUUGUUGGUAUUGGUGCUUACAUCCAAUCAUUAAUUGUUGCAUUAACAUUACGUUCAUCUUCAAUUAUCAUAUUGUGCAUAAUAAUGCAAGCAAUCAUUAUAUCAUGUAACACAUGUUUGUUCCAAAAGCGUGAUGGUCCAGCAACAAUUGCAAAACGUGAUUGAAGGACUUCAAAUGCACGUUCUACAUCUUUCUGACAUGCUUCUUGUUUCAUGGCAAAUAAUGUUUUUUUAUGACCACAUGGAUCAUUGAUAGUUUGUACAAGAGUAGACCAUUUUGGGUAGAAACCAUCAGCUAAAUAAUAACUCAUAUUAUAUUCGUUCCCUUUAAUAACAUAAUGAGCAGGAAGAGCAAUACCUGAAGCGAGGUUGGCAAAAAGAUAGGAUGCCUCCAACACAUUAAUAUCAUUAUUUGAACCAGGCAAACCAAAAUGUGCAUGCCAUAUCCAAAGAUCAUAAUUAGCUACAGCCUCCAAAAUAAUAGUUGGGGUUCCACUACGACCAGCAUAUUGUUCGGCCCAAGCUGUUGGACAAUUUUUCCACUUCCAGUGCAUGCAAUUUAGGCUACCUAACAUUCCUAGAAAACCACGUUCUUUACCAACAUGGAGUAGCCUGGUGACCUCAUUAGCGUUGGGUGAUCUAAGAUGUUGCUUUGCAAAAACUUCCACAAUUGCACGACAGAACCUCUUCAAACUUUCAAUUGUUGUAGACUCUCCAAUUUUAAUAUACUCAUCAAUAGCAUCUGCUAGCAUGUCAUAUGCCAACAUCCUAAAUACGGCAGUGAUAUUUUGAAGACCAGAUAACCCAAGUCUGCCAACGCCAUCCCUUCGCUACAUAAAAUAGUUGUCAUGACCUUGCACGGCAUUAGUAAUACGACUGAAUAAACUUCGAGACAUUCUGAAGGCAAAAGGAAAAAGGAAAGUUGAAGAUCAAAAUUCACUAGUUAUUGAUACUAUUAAAGAAGACCAUCGAUGACUAUAUGAAAUUCUCAAAAAAGGCAGUGAAGAUAGGCAACAAAAUUAUCAAAUUCAAAUGAUACGAGCCCAAAAUGAGAAAAAAAAAUUGGAGAUGGUCACAUAUCGUGAAGAAAACAAAAUUUUACUUCAAGAUUUAAAUUAGAUAAGUGAUUCGAGCUUACGUCAAUAUUUUCAAAAUGAACAAAUUAAGAUUUUACAGAGAAGGUCUCCGCAAGGCCAAGCAUCUCAAAAUAUUUCCAAUAAUAUUGGCCAAUAUUUUGAUGAUAUUGGAAGAUCUAAUAAUGAUCUCCCAUAUUAUUAAAUAAUUGUUCUAAUUUAUGCUGGUAGUAGUAGCUUUUUUAAUUUUGUGUUAAUUUAAUUUUGUAUUUUUAACUUUGUAAUAUGUAAUCUAGUAAUUAAUGUUAUUGGAAUUUUAUUUUUAUUAUUAAUUUUUUUGUUGAAUAUUUCUUUAUUUAAAAUAUUAGUAUAAUAUUCAAAAAUUAAAAAUAAAAUAAAAAUAAUAACAAAAAUAAUAAUAAUAACUUAAAAUAUUAUAUAAAAUAGGAUAUAUAUGUAAAUAAAAAAAGUAAUAAGAAUAUUUGGGACUUUUUUUCCUAGCACCAAAUGAAUAGUGUUGCACCAUUUUUGGUGCAAUACUAUUCAAACAUCAUUUUGGUGUUGGUUUUGGUGUUACAUUGGAGAAGCAUUGUACACCAAAAAUAAUGUAAAAGGUGAUUUACUGUUAGUUUUGAUGUCACAUUGGAGAUGGCCUAAACUCCCCAUAAGUAAAUACUAAGGGAAAUGAGGAAUGUCAAUUGCCCUUUGUCCCGGGCAACGAAAAAUGAAUCUUGUUAGUGCUCAAAGGCCUCUCCAAAGGAAAACACAACGGUUAUGUGUGUCCAAAACUUUCCAAUAAACAAUAUUCCAAUUUCAUUCUCAACCCAAAUUGAAAAUUAGGGUACAAAGUAGUCAAAACUCUUUUUCAAUUUUUUGAAUUCAAUACAGUCAGAACAAAUUGAAUGCAAUGAAAUGACGGAGCCAUUGUAGAGAACCAAAGUAGUGAUUUGUCAUUUGUCUCUUUCCCUCUCUCAAAAUGACCUUUUAGCCCUUUUCCACGAUCACUUCAAUGACGGUUACAAUUGGUUCCGCGUUCGCCCGAAAAUUUAGGAUGUGUUUGAGUUUGCUAAGUUGUUGAAUGGACAUGUGUUUGUUAAUGAAAAAGGGUAAUUUUGCUAACCCUUUUGCUUUUACUUAUCAAUCUUAAUUUGGUAUGAAUGUGUUUAUGUUGUUUCAAAUGAAAAGGGCACUUUCUGUUUGGUUAAUUCUAUGUGUUAUUGGGUUCUUGAUUAGGGGCUCAGUUUAAGGCUAUUGUUGAAUAUGCUCCAUCUCAACAUGUUCCCAAGCCUUGUUCUAGAAAGGGUAGUCGUGAAGGCACCAUUUUUAAAGGUAAUUGAAACGAUCCGCCUCGAAUCUCCAAGACGAGUCUAUCUAAUCUCAAUUGAUCAAAUUAAUAAUAAUUCUGAUAUCUAAGAAUUCUACCAAAAAUGCGACAAAGUCUCCUAUAUAAUUAUGACAUCCCCAAAUCUGCAAUUUAUACAAUUAACACUCCCAAAAAAUAAUACAAUAUUUAAUCAACCUCCACAACCAACUUCCUCAAUUUAAAUACCAGUAUCCUUCAAACAUAUAAUGUUAAGAAUACAAUAGUUUAUCCUUAAUCACAAAUAAGUAAUAAAUUAUCCAAUUCAAAAUGUCUCAACAAAACAUCUAUGAUUCCUAACAUCAUCACGUGGCCAUAAUUUCAAUCUAACUAUCAUUACUGGGUCACUGAUGUACCUGCAAAUCUCCUGUGGGGGGAGGGGGAAUAUAAUAAAAAUGGAGUGAGUAUAAAACUCAGUAAGCUCAGUGAGUGGAUAAUAGUUUUUGAAAAAAUAAAUUUAUUUAAAAUGAUUUAAUCUUUUCCAAAUUAAUUUCAUCAAAAUAUCAUAAGAACUUACAUAAACUUAUUUAAUUCAAAUCAUGCACUGAAAUAACAGUAUUACAUAAAUCUGCAUAAAAUCAAUGAAAUCAUAAUACUUAUAAUAUCAAAUACUUAAUACCAAAAACUAUCAUCAAAUACCUAGGGGAAUAAUCUCAUCAUAUCCGGACCUCGACGGACGGGCAAUCAAGGAACCAUCAUACCGGAGCUACAAUGGAUAGACUAGAAAAUGUCAUCUCAUAUCUCAUAUAUCUCAACAUAUGUAUCUUUGUAAUCAUCAUACUGCAUGCAUAAGCCCCCAAAAGGCAAAAGCGCCCAAACACACGGCCCAAAGCCUUUAUGUGUGUUCAGACGACCCCAAAGGCCUCUCAUCUCAUAUCAUCUAUAUCACUGUAUUCAUCUUAUAUUAUAUGUAUCUCUGUAUCUGAAGGGGAAGGGUACUGUCCAAUGAUUUUCCAAACAACCUUUUAUACACAUGUACAUAAACAUGUAAUCACAUUUGAAAUCUCAUUUCCUUUUUAUUCAAUAUAUCUCAAAUCCACUCAAUUCUAAUAUUAUGCAUUUUCUCAAAAAAUGAUAAUAAAAUCAUUAAUCAAACUCAUUUUUAAUAAUAAUAAAUAUCAGCACGUAGAAUAAAUUUUAAUUUUCUAGAAAAUCAUUAAAUCGAAGCAUCAAAUACUUAUUAUCAAAAUAUGUUGUACUGUAUGGUAAAAUUAGAAUAUACUAUGAAAAUAAAUUUUGUAUAUUCCACUCACAGUGACGAUAUCCAGACUCGGUACUAUAAACGUCCGCGGAUUGAUUCUCGCUCGUGGGUCCUCCUAAUUAAAUAAACGACAUAAUUAUUAUUUGUAUCAUGAAGUACGACUAACAGUACGUAAUAAAGCUCAAAAUCAAACUCCCGGAUACAUAAAAUUUCAAAAUUAUCCUUAUGUCCAAAAAUUACCAAAAUGCCCUUGACACCAAAAUUUACCAAAUUACCAUCGAAAUCAUAAUUUAUCGAAUCAUCCUUAACAUCUUAAAUUACCAAAUUGUCCUCAAUUCGGAUAACAAAAUUAAUCACAAGUUUUGAAUUUACGAAAUUACCCUCAAAGUGCGAAAUUACCAUAAUGUCGUUAAUAAUUUAAAUUAUCGAAUUACCCUUGAAGUCUCAAAUUACCUCACUGCCCUAACCUAAAAUUACCAAAUUAUCCACCGAUUCCACAAAUUACAAAUUCCCCCUAAAGUCUUGUGAAAUUACUGAAAUGCCCCCACCGGUCAACGGUGACCGGAAUUCAGCUAACGGUGACGGGAAGCUCAAGUCUGAUAGUUCUGAUCUCGAUGAGUCCAAUGGUGCUGGCGGUGACCUUCCACGUGCGGCAAUGGCGGCGAAUCGUGCUCCCAAAGCUGUGAGCUUUCUAGCGGUCGUUCACAGCCAAAACGAAAGUUUCAGGUGGCGAGGUUGGUCGGAAAUAAAAGCUGGUGAUAGGAAUCGAAAGCAGCCGGUGGUGCAACCUAAUUCUGGCGAGAUUGACGGCGACGAAAAUGGAUUGAGUCGCGGUCUUUCAAGCUUCAAUCACCGGCGUUCUGGCUGUUUUCCAGUGACGAUGACAGCGGGGAUUUGACCGGCGUCACUCAAGCUUCAGAUCAGUACCAAGCUUGACCGGAACGGUGGCUGGAAACGAGAGUUGGACCCGGGUUGGUCUCGUGGGUCGGGUCGGGCUAAACGGGUCAAUUUCUCUCUCUCUCUCUCUCCUUCUCUCUCGCGUGCCCCUCUCUCUUUUCUCUUUUGAAAAUUAGUUCCCUCCCUUCCAUUUAUAGAAAUUAAUUUUUUUUAAAGAUUACUACUAAUUAAGCUAAUGCUGGACACGUGUUGAAAUAAAAUCCAACUACACGGCCAUUGAAUCGUGUUUGAAUUGUCUCAAUUUUAUGUCAUGACAAAUUUAAAAUUAAUAUCGAAGGGAAAAAAAUAAAUAAUACACUUAAUUAGGAAAAUUAAAGUGCAUAUGUUAUAGUGAUUCUUUUUAUUUAAAAAAAAAAACUUAGGGCACUUUUGGGGUUGAAGUACUGUGGCUUUUACUGUACACUUAAGCUGCUAAAUAUCAAAGUUAAGUAAAAGCACAGCAAUUACAAGAAUACCUUUGUUUUCUUUAUCUUCUUAUUAUUUUUAGAAGUACUGCAGUAAUGCCACUUGGGCUUGUAGCCCAGUGGUGAACCAUUGCCCUCAAAGUUAAACAUGACUAUGAGGGCAAUGGUUCGAGUCCCUACAGACUCAACCUCCUUCAAUUAAAUAUAAUUGUGUGGAGACUACUUAUAACGUCUUUCUCCCUUGCGAAAUGCGAGUGGAGUAGAGACAUCCCUCCUCCGUAAGGGGUAUUUGGUUGGGCAUGUGCUUCAUAGACUAAAAAUGUAAUAAUGUAAGUCCCAUAUAUAUAUAUCUGAUUGUAAAUAUCAGUGUAAUGACCUGCAGUCAUAGCAGUUGUAUAUAUCUCUGUGUAAUACAGUAACCUGAUGCUUAAUCAGUUAAAAAAAAAAAAGUACUGCAAUAAUAAGUCAUAUUUGGUUUUGAUGUGGAUAAUAAAGACCCGGAUUAUUUGGAGUUCCUAAAGGUUAUUGCUAAACUUGCUGAGAAUCUACCAAGUGCAGAAAUUCAGUUGGAAAGAAAAGAAGCUGAGCUAUCUGGUUAGUUAGUUAUUUUGAGAUGAAUUGAUGAAUAUAACAUGCUGUUCUUAGUGUGUGUGUGUGCAUAAAUGUAUGCAAUUUAAGCUACAAAAUUAAUAAAUUCUGGCACUGUUACUGAGAUCAAUGCUCAGGUAAGUAAUUCAUUAAUUUAAACUAUAAAUUCAGGCUUUGCUAGGAACAUAUAUUAUUAUGAAAAGGUGAAAAAAAAGAAAAAAAGAAAAGAAAAAACCAACUAAUUACACUAUUAGAAAAAUAGUCUUUACUGAUAUUUGUGGUCUGACACUUUAUUUAAAAGUGUCAGUAUAUACAUAUAUUUGGAUCAUUUUCCGCGUUUAACAAAUAUGUAUCACUAAUUACUAAUAUUGAAGUAUCAAUAGCUUUAAUAAUAGCGGUCAUUGACGUUUAUGUAUCAGUAAUUAAAAAUUAUCAUUUUAAUUUUGUUUUAGUCUGAAUUCGAACCCAAAACCUCUUAAACCUAGAGCUUCUACAUUGAAUCAAAAGGCUACUAGGCUACGAAUUAUUUUUAAUUUUUUUUAGAGUUGUGUUUUUUUAGUGGAUAAAAACAAAACAAAUGAACAAGUCUUGUCUUAUCCAAAAUACAACUUUUCAACUCCCUCUACCAAAGUAUUCGGGGUUUUUAAUUAAAUAUGCCUUAAAAGUAGGGUAUUUAGUUAAAUAUACCCCAUGUUUGAAAAUUAUCUAAAUAUGCCUUUUUAUGUGGUACAUUGUCUAAAAUAUCCCUAAAGAAAAAUAUAAAACACACACAACUCACAACACUCUUUAUUUCUCACAACACAAACGCCCACUCAUGAAAAACACCACACUACACACAAAAUCACUCACAAACAGCUAAUGCACUGAGAUUUUUGUUUGCAGCUGGGUGUAUUAUUCAUCCCAUGAAUAAGGUAUUUGAAACUCGUUUUUUUUUUUAAUUUUGGGCUAUCUAUUCAAUUUGUUGACAUAAUAUUAUUUUUAGGGUUUUGUUUAGUUUGUGAUAAACACUAAAACAACUCAUAUUUUCAUUACAUUUGCAUCAUAUGACUGUUAUUUGAUGGAUUUUAUAACUACAUUUGUUAAAACCUGAAGUUGUUGUCAAAUUUUUUUUCUGCACCCGACAUACACGACAACAGUCGUGUAUGUAUGUAUUUACACGACUAUAGUCGUGAAAAUGUGCAAAAAAUUUCAAUUAUUAUGACACCUUAUCAUUAUAUUGGUUCAAAAAAUAUAUUUUUUUCACUAUAUAUAUCCUUUUACUAUUACUGGACUAUAGUCGUGUGUGUUAAUAAGUUACACAAUUACUAGCGUGUACGUAUAAACUUACAUACUAUAAUUGUGUAUAUAUGUAAAAUGUUCCAAUUGUUAUGAGAUCCCAACAUUUUUUUAAGAAGAAAUAUGUCCUUUGAUUAUUUACUGAGUCAUGUAUUUUGCAACUUACACGACUUCUGUCAUGUAUGUAUGAAUUUACACAACAACCAUCGUGUAAGUUUAAAAGAUAUAGUAGUUGUUAUGACACCUAACAUUCUGUUAGUACAAAGAUUACAGUUAUAUUUUAUUAAAUAUAUCAUCUGACUAUUUACAGAACUAUAGUUGUGUAUUUUAGAAAGUUACACAACUAUUGUCGUGUAAAUAGGCAGACAGAUCCACACUUCGUUAUAAAUCUUGUUUGAUUUUAUUUUUGUAUUUGUUGUAUAAUCAACUGUUGUAUUAUUACAGGAAAUGACUUCAGUACGUGUGCCUAUUAUGUUUUGUGGUGAAUGGAUUGAGCAAAACGGUAGGCCACAACAUAAACAAGCACAUGUACUACUAUGAACCUUAUAUGCUUUUGCCCCCUGUGGAAAAGCAAAAAAAAGGUCGGCCACAACAAAUUAGGAUACUAUCACGAGGUGAAAAGAAGUUGCGCCGUAAGUGUGGUAGGUGUGGUUCUCGAGGACAUAAUCGAUUAACUUGCAGUGCACCAAUCCCACUGUCUAACAAUGAGCCCGUAGUUAGACCGAAUGAAACAUAAACAAGCACAUGUACUACUAUUAACCUUAUAUACUUGUUAUUUUUUGUUGUUUAAUUUUUUUAAUGUCUUUCAUAUUUAGUGAUAAAUUUCUACCUUUUUGUUUCGCAGAUGAAUAACCGUGUUUGUGUGGCUUUCUAAGAAUAAGUAUUGAAGGGAGGCGACCAGAGGCUUAUAAAAUAUGGACCGAGUGUUUGGGUUGAAUAUGCCAAAAAUUUAUUAUGAAUGUUAAACAACUUCUAUUGUAUUACGAUUUAUUUACGAUUUCAAUAAGUAUUGGAUUUAUGUUAUUUGAUAGGCAACCGGACUAUAGUUAGUUUCAUUUAUUUGAAGUUUGAUGUGUUAAAAUUUAUAUUGAUUGUGUCAUCAAUAUAAUGAAUGAUUGAAAAGAGUUUUUAUUAUGUAUACAUACCCGAGUACAAUCAUGUAUUUCUGUUAUAGAACUUGUCAUAUUUAUUUCUAAAUACUCGACUACAGUCGUGUAUCUGUGCAAAUACCUGACUGUCACAGAGAGCUUGUAAUGUUUAUUUCUAAAUACCCGACUGCAGUCGUGUAUCUGUGCAAAUACCCGACCGCAGUCGAGUAUUUUGUCACAGAGAGCUUGUCAUGUUUAUUUCCAGAUACCCGACUGCAGUCGUGUAUCUGUGCAAAUACCCGACUGCAGUCGAGUAUUUUAUCACAGAGAGCCUGUCAUGUUUAUUUCCAGAUACCCGACUGCAGUCGUGUAUCUGUGCAAAUACCCGACUGCAGUCGUGUAUCUGUGCAAAUACCCGACUGCAGUCGAGUAUUUUAUCACAGAGAGCUUGUCGUGUUUAUUUCCAGAUACCCAACUGCAGUCGUGUAUCUGUGCACAUACCCGACUGCAGUCGAGUAUUUUGUCAUAGAGAGCUUGUCAUGUUUAUUUAUAAAUACCUGACUGCAAUCGUGUAUCUGUGCAAAAACCCAACUGCAGUCGUGUAUUUUCUUACAUCGUAUUCCCUAUGCAUAUAUGGCAAUCCUGUUAUAUCACAUAGAUUGUACAAACUAUCUUAUCUAUCAUUAAUAUAAUUAACAAAGAAAUAAAAUAUAUUAAUGCUAUCAACUUAUCUUUAAUGACAUUAAAUAUCAACAACAUCCUCAUCAUAACUAUUACAUCUCAUGGUCCAAAAAAUGACACUACAAAGUUUUUUUCCAUGACCUAUUCCCAAAUAAUUUUACAACCAAGGCUUUUCGAAAUUGUGUAACAUGAUCUUGUUGGCAAUAUGAAUUGACAUUAAGUCCAUGGGUUAGGACCUCCAAGUGCCGCAACAAAAAUGCUUCACAAUCACCACUAAACAAAUUCAUACAAAUCAAUUGUUAAAAAUCAUCAUUCUCAUUAUUAUGUUCAAAACACAUUAUAUAUAUAGUACAUACCCUGAUUUUUGUUGCGGGCUGUCACGCACUCGCACGAUAGGCCAAGGAAUUUUCAAUAUAACCUCACUACAGUCUAGAUGUGUUUCGUGAUAUGCUAUCUUCUGAAGUACUAGAGGUAUCAUGUCUGCAACAGGCAGCAAUUAUCUCACCAAAAUUGAAUCAUUUGUUAAAUCUAUCAUGGAGUCAUAAAUGGAAAUCUUGCCCCCAAGUAUAUCGACCACACCGAGAAUCCAAUGAUCAUUCAUGAAUAUUGGCAAAUACACCUAUGAAAUAUAGACAAUAUUCUUAACAAGUAACGGCAAAUAUAUCUAUGAAAUGCGGUAACUGUUUUUAUCUACUUGCAGUGCAUAUGAUGUAAAAAACUAAGCAUACAAUGUGAAACUUACAGUGGAAACAUUUUUCCAAGGAGUGGCACAGUCCAAUUUUGCACCAUUAGCAUAAUCAAUGCAGCAACAGAGAGUCAGGAGAAGAGAGUAAGGCGUUGGGUUUAGGGGACGGUGAAGAAUAAGAGGAGAGCAAAGCGCCAAUGGCGCGCGAAGCGCAUGCGGAACGGGCACGGAGAAAAAUCAGUGUGGAUGAGAAGCAACCGAGCUCAUUCCCUUCGCUUCUGGGGCCAAAGCAGUGCAGUUGUUCCUGGCCAAAUCCAGGAUUUGGGGCUUCUUGCUACACCUACGCUACUUAAGAAUGUUCUUCGGGUAGAGAGAGAGAGCUUUGUAUCUUUGAAGAAGAAGAGACAGUAAUCAAUUGGAAGAAGAACGAACGGUAAUCAAUUGGAAGAAGAACGAACGGUAAUAUCAAUUGGAAGAAGAAGAGCUUUGUAUUCACCUCUAGCUUCAACUCCAGAGAUGGGUGCGUGUUUUGUGACUGACUGUGCAGGGUAAUUUGGAUGAUUUAGGUUUUUAAUUAGGGUAAUUUCGUAACUGCACAUAAAAAAAGGCAUAUAUGAGGAAUUUUAAAAUAUAGGGGUAUUUUUAGAUAAAUACCCUUUUUUUGGGGUAUACCACAGACAAAUCCCUGAAAGUAUUCAUUCCCUCCUAAGCUCCCCAGAUCUGAAAAAUCCCUAACAUCCAAAUUGUCAAAAAGUGCUCAGGUCUUAUCUUUUUGUUUGGCCGGCAUGGUGCUGCGAAAUCAAAGGUCAGUAAGCAGUAAUAGAAGAUAACGAGUGCAGAGAUGGCGGGAAGAAGGUAAGACUGGCCAUAAUGGAGCUGGCCAACAUGAUAAGUGUUCCCAUGUCUCUAACCGCUGCCAUCCGUCUCCACAUACCGGAUGCUAUCUGGCAAGGUGGGGCCAACACCCCUCUCUCCGCCUCCCAGAUCUUGACACGUAUCCUCCCAUCCGGCGAUGGGGACGCCGAGAACUUGCAACGUAUCCUCCGCUUGCUCAGCAACUAUGGCGUGUUCUCGGAGCAUCGCGAAUUUAGAGGCGAAAGGAGAAUGAAUGUGAUGAGGAUGAUGAUUGGGAAUAUGUUGAAGAAGGGCCUGCAGAAAUUAUAUGGCAAGGAAAUGAGAUUAUUAUCAGGAAGAAAAAGGUCAGAGUUCCGAAGAAUGAUGCGAACCCACUAAGUAAAAAAGAGGUAAUUUUGACUCUAUUGACAGCUAUGUUAGGCUUGUUUCUACUUUACUUCAAGAUGCCCAUUCUCUUCGGUUAUGGAAAAAAUUAAACUUUCUACGUUAUUACUUCCUUUACAGAUGUUGAUAAGCCUACAUCAAAUCCUCUGCCCAGACAAUCAGAAGCCUUUGCUGAUCACCAGAAUGCACAACAGGCGUUGGAGACUGUUGCUCAACAAGUGCCCAAUUUUGGAACUGAACAGGCAUGCCUUUUCUUUCAAUCUAUCUAUCUGAAAUUUUCAAUUUGCAAUUACUGUAUUAUAUUUCAUUUCUAUUAUAUUUGCAUGUUUAUCAUGGUCAAUCAUGUUUUUAUUAUAUAUGGCAGGAUAAAGCUCAUUGUCCUUUCCAUUUGAAGACUGGAGCUUGUCGGUUUGGUCAGAGAUGCAGCAGAGUUCAUUUUUACCCUGAUAAAUUGUGAACUCUGCUCAUCAAGAAUAUGUAUAAUGGUCCCGGCCUUGCUUGGGAGCAAGAUGAGGGGCUCGAGGUAUGUAAUUGCUGAUUCUUGUAUCCUGAUAAGGACUCUUCCAAACUUCUAUACUUUUGUGCAAUUUGUUGGAUCAUUUUAUAUACGCAUUGUCCUUGCUAUAUAGAAGAUGCUUUUUAUAUAGAAAAAUAUUUUUCCAGUUGAUAUACUGUAAUGUGUUUAUAACUAUUCUAGAUAGUAUCACUGGUGAGUUCUUUUGAGUUCACAUUUUAUUUCUUUUCUUUGACUAUGUGAAAUCAGAGAUUUAUGUUUUCAUAACGAUGGAGAUUCAUGGUGUUGGCCUUGAUUGGGUAAGAGUGAAGGCUAUGAGCUAUUCUGUAUCCUACAUGCUGCAAAUGAUUUUAGCUAUUAUGAAAUUUCUUGUUUAUAUGUUUGGCUUAUUUCUCUUUCUUUCUUUCGUUCUUUCUUUCUUUCUUUCUUUCUUUCUUUCUUUCUCUCUCUCAUUAGUCACAUAGCUGUACAACUCUGUUUGAGUUAAAAAUUUCUCCUUAACAACUAGUAGUUUCUUGUGGAAUAUACUAUAUAUCGUCGAUUGUCAGAGCUGGUCAUCUAACAAUGGUCAUUACUUUGGAAGGUUUGGGAUUGUUUGCCACAACACCUAUUUACUGACACAUGCUGUUGGUGCCCUUCAUUUACUUUAGAAUGUGUCGGGGGAGACAGAAAGCUGGAGAAAAAGAAGUUGUUUUGAUUGAUGCAAAUUAAAUUAGUUGAACACAUGAUAGGUUUCAUUUCAGUCUAUUAUACUGAUGAGAAAAUAUUAGCCAUUAGGUGAGGAUUAAAUUGCAGGUUAUAUAUAUCUUGUCCCCUAGUUGUGUAUUUUGAAUAGUGUUAACCAUGUAAAUGGAGAUCAUGGUUAAUAGUUGUCUCCGUGUUAAUCCACUACCCUUUGACCAUUAUCUGGAAGAACAAAAUGCAAAUUGAGAAACUAAUCAAAUUGAUAACUAUCAUAGUGAAGUUUCAAGUUAUAUGCUAGAGUAUUUUUAUAAGUUGUUUCACCUCCUGAUAAAUAUCAUUUUGUUUUUCCAAUGUCAAAAUAAAUCAUUCUUGACAGACUAUACUUUCAUACUUUUAUACUUUUCUUUUGAUUUUAUGCUUCUAAUGUUAACAUACGCAAAAAAAAAAAAAAAUUGGUUGAUUUGCCUCUUUUCUUUUCAGUGGGUUUUAACUCCAUGGACUGAUGAUGAAUGCAAGCUGAUAAUGGAGAACUGUUACAAGGCUCUUCCGGCAGGAGGAAAACUGAUUGCUUGCGAGCCUGUGCUGCCUGAUGAUUCAAACGAAAGUCAGAGGACUCGUGCUCUCUUAGAAGGGGACAUUUUGUUAUGACCAUCUACAAGGCCAAAGGUAAACACAGGACUGAACAAGAGUUUAAGCAACUUGGUUUCUCUGCUAGUUUUCCACACUUGAGAGCUUUUUAUUUCGAUUAUUUUCACACUCUUCUUGAGUUCCAAAAGUAAUUUUAGUUUCUGGAUCCUUGAAAGACUUGGGGAAUAUUUGUGAUGGAGCUUCUGUGGUUGCCUAGGAUGGAAUAACUUGCUCUGAAUUAUAAAUGUUGAGUAGGCAGUUAGCACUAGCUGCCUACCAAAUAUAUAUAUAUAUUGUCAAAAAGUGCUCAGCCAUGAUCCUGUCAAACCGGUGGCACAGGUUCACCAUUUGCCUUCAAAAUCCUAACUUAUUGUUUCUUUUCUUAUUUUAUGAUUUCGGGUCUCUCUUAUUGUCAUUAGAUCUUGAUUUUUUUUUUUAAUUGUUCUUUUAGGUUUAAAUAAGUGACUUGGAGAAGAGCUUCUAUGUUUCUUUGGCUACUUGGAAGAAACAAGAAGGUAAAGAUUUAGCUUUUAAUGUGUUUUUUUCUCUGCUACGAUCAAGUAGACGGUUAAUUUAUAAAAGAAAUGCUCUGUGUGAUUAUCUGAAAAUUGCAGAAACGCUAUCAGUUUGUCAUUUCUAUUAACUUUCUUUCUCUAUAGCAAAAUAAUUAAACAUUGGAAGUAUGCAUAUAAAUAAGGAGGUAGCAAGGUUAUUGGAUUUCUUUAAGGGAAUGAAUGAAGUCAGUCCCUACACUAACUACUUGGUUGAUGCCUUAGUAAUUAAUUGCUCAACAUUAUGAUGUAGUUACUGGGAAUCUAGUGACUAAUUUUCAACAAGUAAUUGUAUUUUUACCUAGUUAUCGUUCUUACUCUAUUUAGAGUCAUUAACUUAUUAUAAAUAACCUUACCAAAAGAGAAUAAUCAUUGACUCCCUUUUUUCUUAUUUAUAUCUGUAGUUGAAUAAACUGUAUUUCUUUGGUAUUUUUAAGGAAAUAAACUACAACUUCCUUGUUCACUAAUUUUUCUUUGAAAUAAUUGAGUUUACUUAUAAAUAGUGUAUGAAUAUUUUUUCUUUAGAACAAAAUAGAUUUAUUUAUAUUAAGCAUUGUUUCUCUAAUGGUUGGGAAUUGGCAGCUAAUUUUUUCUCCCUUUUCGAUGUAUGCAGAUUUGCUCAAUGUGUUUGAAGUGUUUAUUCCUCAACUUCACUUGUAUCAUAACCCAUUCAGUCUAUUGAAUGGAGAAGCUGCUGGUGUGAUAACGCAAUUAUACUACUCAUAUUCAAAGUGUGAAAGAUAGUCAUCAUUCUCAAUUUAACUUCUAGAUUUAUUAAAUUUAGCCACAAGUAGUACGCAUUUGAUUGGAUGUUAAAAAUUUUUAUGUAUUGAAUUUGGAUUAUUUAGUUAUGAGAGUAGGAUAUGUCAUAUUUUGGCUAUUGAAGUUCAAUUUGUAAUAUAUACUAAUAAUAUUUAAAUGUGAAAUGAAAGAUUUUGUGAUAUAAAUCAAUUUAUUUUUGUUAUUUUGUGGUGCUUUUAAUUUUACAAAUAAAUCAAUAGGCAAUGAUCCAAUUUAAUUUUUUAUUUUUUAAAAAAUAAAUUAACUAGUGAUACCAUGGUAACAGUAAUCAUAGACACUAAUAAAAUAUCAAUAACUACUAACAUUAUGGUGUCAUAAUAUCGGUGAUACUGUAGUAAUAGUAAUCACUGACACCACUUACAAGUGUUACUAUUUUUCUGACUCCCAGAUUACUGACAUAAUUAACAAGUGUCAGUGAAAGUAAUUUCUGACACUAUUCUAAAGUCAGUAAAGACCAUUUUUCUAGUAGUGUUAUCAUUUGUUACCACAUAGCUAGCAUUGAAAUAUAAAGUUCCUAAUAAAAAAUUAACUUUUCCCAUUAUAUUUGACCCAUGAAAACGGUACUAUCAGCAGGAAUCAGUGAAGCUGCGGUAGCAAAUUCAAAUGUUACAGAAUUCUAACAGGUAUUUACAAUUAUUUCAUCAACAAUCAUUUUCUUAUUAAGCAUAGUCAAUUAAUUAUGCCAAAAUAUACAAUUUCAAUUGGUUAUCUCACUCUUGACUCUUCAUAUUGGCAUUUGAUGCGUGAUUCUUUGAGUUCUUUAACUGUAAAGGAGCUUAAGCAACUGGAGAACAGGCUUGAGUGAGGCAUCACGAGGAUCAGGUCCAAGAAGGUAAUUAAUUAAUUUCAUUAUGCAUACAAAAAUAAUUGAAUUUGAGCAAUACACCAUUGUUUUGCAACAAUACAUUGCAUAAACUUUAUUUAUAUACAUUCAAUAAAUGUAAUUUAUGUCAUUUUGAAAAUAAUUUGUUGCUUUGUGCGUUUCCUGUUUUGUGCAACAGCAUGAAAUGCCUCUAGCUGAAAUUGAGUUCUUGCAGAAAGGGUAAUAAUUAAAAUUCAUUAAAUCCUGGUUAGCCUUUUUUUCGUUUUCUUCAAAGCUUUUAUGGAACUCUUUAACAUUUUCAUUUUCAUAGGAGAUUGAGCUGGAAAAUGAAAGCGUGUGUCUCCGAUCAAAGGUAUGCAAAUCAGUCCGUUGUAUGUAUAAUGCAUUUUUUCUCUCCCUCUUCCAAAAUUUCAGCACGUUAUUCAAAUUUCAUUGUUUCUGAAACUCAGAUAGCAGAAAUGGAGAGGUUUCAGCAAGCAAACACGGUGACUGGGCAAGAGCUGAAUGCAAUCCAUGCAUUAGCUUCUCGGAAUUUCUUCAGUCCUGAUAUCAUCGAGGGUGGCGGCACUGCCUACUCUCACCCAGACAAUAAGAUACUCCAUCUCGCGUAAGUAAUUCUCCCAUCACAUUUCAUUUCUGCGAAACCGUGUUGCGCAUGCAUCAAUGUUUUCUCCCGUUUGCAGGUAAGCUAGAUGCUGGCGAUCAAGCUUGUGGCAUCUCGUACUGCGAGAUCUACGAUCAGCCUAUCAUUAUCUACUGAAUGUGUGUGCCACUGGAUUCCUAUUUUUGAAACCUGCAAUAUAUGAAACUGGAUGAGUUUAUGUGUAACCUAAUUACUUACUCUGACUUAUCAUUGGCAUCUUCUUCUCGGGAGACCAGUUAUCAAGCUGAAACUUAAUAUCUAUUUAACUGAUGCUGUAUGAUGUCGAUGGGUUUGCAUUAUGUACAAGGUAAAUAAAUAUUGUGUCAUACAUUCAUAAAUAAAUAUUGUACUUGAUAAACCUAGACCAUGAGCUAGUUGAAGUAUGGUGUGAAUCAAAGAAGGGUCAUAGGCUUGGUGGUUUUAUUGCAAGUCUCUUGGAUGUUAGGUUUGCUCUGUUAGUCUGUUUGAAUUUUUGGGAAAGUCAUGAUUAUUAGAAGGGCACAUUUUGGGUUGUAUCUGCUACAAAUGUGGACACAAUACAGCGUUCGUUAAGAGCUCAAUGAGGAGAAAAGGAAUCAGAUCUCUUUGAAUCCACCAUGUAAGAAAAGAUUCUAGAUGGCUCCAUAAAAGAAACUUCAUUUGAUGUCAAUACGGUUUUUCCAUUGUGCCUGCAGGUGACUAGGUCAAAGAAUGGCACAAUAAGAAAAUAUACUUUAGGUGAUUUUCACGCCGAUGGCACAUUGUGCCUGCAGGUGACUAGGUCAAAAACUGGCACAAUCCCCAUUAUAAGGUUUCUUAGGGCGCUCCGCAGUCUCCUUCUCAGCACUCCCAGCUUGAAUUUCAUCGACUUCAUUUGAGCUAAUUGUGCAACCUCUUCUGCCCUUAACCGAGCUGCUUGCUCCUCUGCCAAUUGCUGUUCGAGCCUAGUUGUUGUCUCUUUGAGCUCAGACUCAACCUAUCAAAAAAGCAUCAAUAUCAGUCAGAAAACAUGCUACUAAGCCCUAGAGUAGCAGCAUAAUACCAAAAAAAAAAAUGGUUAUUGGUAUUAUAAAACUCCAACUUAAGAGAAGCAAAUUCUUGAGUAUUAAUUUAGUUUAAUCCAAUUGCAAAGGGAGUUGCUAAGUUCACCAUACUCGGCGAAACAUUCUUACUUCAAUCAAUUCCAGACUCUCAAUCAUUGAUAAAUGGUAGAAACAAAAGCUUUAAAAAAUCAACACAUAAAUUCAAAAUAUAAAGUAUUAAAGAAUCUACUAACUUUUUAAUUUUUCCAUACUCCAGGAAUGUGAAGACUAAAACUUAUUAGCACCUCAGACAUAUAGUCAUUACACAGAAUGUUCCAGCAAAUUCAGAUUCUUGUUGAAUAGGAUCUGGCUUAAUUCCGAAUCAUUGUAUUGCCUUGCUAUAAAUUAAAACUGUGGAAAGGAAAAUCAAAACUAUGCAGCCAUUUGAGUAGGUUCCACGUGCCUAACUAUAUUUUCAUGAAAACUUAUUUUGAAUGUGGCUAUUUUGUUUUUAACAAAAUUAGAAUAUGUCAUAAUCUCAAUUGUUCCCACAGAUUCAGGCAAGAAAACAGUAUCCACAGUUUUACAAGAAAUAUUCUCAUGAUUGAUGACUAAACAAGUGCAGAAUCCAUUCCUAAGUGCAAGUCAUGAUAAGUAAACCACCUAUAGCUACUACCAUAGAAUAACCCACUUAAUUUCAUCAACAAACAAAACAGAGCAGGACGGUCAAACAAUGUUCAAGUUAAGAACAGCAUGUUACAGCCUUCAAAACGCAAUCAGUGAACAGAUAAUAACAGAUAGGUCCACAUCAACUAGCAAGAUAAAGCCUCUUUUCAGAUGGCAAUCUCCAGCAAUCUAGGGGUAAGGACAGAGCGGCAGUCUUUAUCACCUCCAAAUCUAACAAUUUAGAAUAUCAUUACAGGUACCUGCACGCUUUGUAGGCAUUUUUUUAAUUACACAGUUUUAGAAAUGAUUACCCGAUCUGAGAGAUGAACACAUAUGCAUGUCAUAUUUUGAUGCCAAAACAAGGAGUAUAAAAAAUACCAUCUCAGUAAUUCGUUUGAUUUGAUCUUCAUAUGAUUCCUGCAUCUGGCCCAUUAGCUUUGAAAUUUCUUGUUUUGAAUAUUCCUUGAGAGAAUCAACGUCAGCUUGUUGAUCACGGAGUUCAGUAGCCCCUCUCUGAGUAGAAAAAAAAAAGAAAAAGAGAUAUUGUCAUGACAUAUUCAGAAAGAAGCAGCACAGAAGUCAAUCGCGACAGUAACGAAGUCACCUUCAACUCAGCAAGGAGCUCGUCCGUAUAUGGCUGCCCACCAUUAUGCUCGAUCACAGAGUUAACCAGAGAAAGAAGCUUCUCAACCUGCUCAGUUCUCUUGGCCUCAUCCUUGGUCUUGUUAUCAAAAAGCACGCACCUAUUAUCACAUAGUUGAAGGAUUUCCUAAAAUAAUGGAAAAAUGAUCAGGAAUAAAGCAAAUGUUAGCUCAUUUCGUAAGCAUUGAUGAACCAAUCAAACACUUGUAGUCUCUAAAAGUUUGAGGAUAUUAAGCUGACAAAAUUUGUUUUUAUUGUGAUCGUAAGCACUUAAUAUCAGGCCUCCUAAGAAACUAUUUAAUAAUCAAUUCCAUUCUCCUUAUGGUUUGACCACUUACAUAACCUCUUACAUCCAUCAAAUUUAAAGACCUUAAAAGGUGAUCAGCAUUCCAUAUAACAAAAAAAUAAUAAUAAUAAUAAUAAUAAUCUGCAUAUAUUCCCGUGAAAAGCAUUGACUCAAUCAAAAUUAGUGGCUACAAAGCAGUAGCUGCCUCUUCACUCGGCAAAUUCUUACGUUAUAGAACAAAGCAUGAAAGACUGUAUUAUUGUGAUCAAAGCCCAAAACUGCCAAAAGGCAAGAUCACAUUUUCUGUGGCAUCUACAUAAUUGACCUAAUUGUGGCAUCUACAAUUGAUACCUUCAAACUACAAAAAUUGGUACAAUAAGUAAAACAAAGUUCCCUUAAAAUAACCCGAUUUUGUUAAUUGCAGAGCUACAACUUGAAGGGUCUUUAUUUUCUUUUUUGUUAUUUUUCUUCCCACUCCUCAUAGGUUAAAUCAAGUAUGCAGUAAAAUAGAAGAACUUGAUAUAAAUCUUUCUCAAGUUAAAAAAUUUUAGAAACCAAAUUCAUCAAGUACAUUAUGAAAAUAAGAGAUUUGCAUGUUGAAACUGAAAAAACAUCUCACAUUGAAAUUUUAGACAACAAUUCUGAGGCUAGAAUCCACAGGAAUUUUUAAGAGAAUUUUAAAUAUUGUAAAGUUAGUCUUGAUAUUUUAUUCAAACAACGCCGAAUAAAAUGGAGCUCACGUAUAAAUCAAAGAGGUACAUAUUUUAAGAAACAAACGAAUGAACACACGUUAAUAGAAUAAGAACCAAGAUUAAAUAGCAGAGGAAAUCAAAGAAUACAAAUAAGAAAAGCAUAAAUGCUUAGCAAAUGAAUGAAUGACAUCUCAUUCAAAGACAUUAAAAUAUAACUAAAAUUAAGUAAUGCCAGCAGAAAAUUACCAACCAAUCACCUCUCCGGCAUAUCCCGCAUGGCAGAAGAAAACCAUUCAGGAAAUGAAGCCCUAUUGAAAAUGGAAUUUUAAGACGGCUGGACUACUAUACACCUAUCUAGUAUUUUCAGCAUGCAUAUAUUCAUAGUAAACUUCCAAUGGUCCAACCGUAAAGGAGUCUAAAACUUCACAAAAGAACCAACCAAAGACAACUUGAUCAAAAUGACUAAUGAAAUUAUCGAACACUGUUGCAGUUCAGAAACAAACCUUUAAAGGCUUUGGACACUCAUGACCCAAAUAAUCUUCUAAUGUUUUCUCAUUAUCUUCAAGAUAAUCCCCUCCAGUGAAAACAGCAAUCAUAUAGUCAAAAAUUUUUUUCCCGAACAAGGUCGGCAAACGGUGUACUGCAGCUUCUUCCUCUUGAGAAAAACGGUUUCGAGCAGAGAAAACUACAAGGACUGCAUGGAUCCCACCCUUGGCCAAACCAAUACAUUUGACAAUUUCCUUGCCGACAAACUCAGAGCCAGCGGAAGAAUCAAAAAGCCCUGCAAUGGCUCAUAACAUCAAUCUCCUUGCCACCACAACAUCAACAAGCAUGGAAUGGAAUAUCUAGGCACCAACAUUAGUAAAUUACCGGGGGUAUCAAUGACAUUAACAACUUGGCCAUCUUUGAGCACGGUUGUCUUCAUUUCACAAGUUAUAGUAACACCAGACGAGCCAGCACUCGCCUUGAAGGCUUUUCUUCCGAGAAUACUAUUGCCCGUCGCACUUUUGCCAUUGCCAGUACGGCCAAGUAAAACUACAGUACGCUCCCCAAUAGAUGGAGAAGUAGGCUUCCAAUCGCCAUCAAUCACUCUUUCUCCCAUCCUAAAAAAAAUUUCAAUUUACCUGCAAUGCAUUUACAGUAUCAAACCACGUCACAUUGAAUUCACUUUUUAUCGUUAAACAAUAAGAAAGAAAAUUUAGUUACCAUACCCUUACAAUUUCACUCUAUUAAAACUUAUAUUUGUUAUUACUUUAAAUAUUAUCCAACCGAACAUAAAUAAAUUCAUUAAAAAAAUAUUAAAAAUAAAAAUUAUUCGGACCCCGACGAUAUAGUUAAAUUUAUAAUCUUAAUAAAAAUAUGAUGGAUUGAUAUAUAAUCAAGCUCAGAAUCUAAACAGCAUCAGUUAAUUAAUUAAUCAUGCUGAUAUAUAAUUUAAUUUAAUUCUGCUUGUUUUAUGAAAUUAUUGAAAAAAAAUGACGAUGAUGAAUUAUGCACAGUGGCGGACCCAAACACUUCAAUUAAGGGGACUUAAUUCAAAAAAAAUUAUUUAAUUUGGGUUUUUUUUUAAUGUUCACACCAUACAUUUUAAGUCUCAUAAACUCAAAUUUCAUUACUUUCUUUUAAAUUCUAAAUAAUAAUAGUAACAAAUUAUUUAUUUCAAAGGCAUGAAAGUAUCAUUUUUCUAAGUAGUUUCGCAAAAUAUUUAAUUCUUUGAAAAAAGGCUUGGGGUACAUUUAAAAGAAAAAUUAAUGGUUCAGAAGGGGCUAAAACCCCUCAUGGGCCUUAAUUGGGUCGCCCAUGAUUAUGCAGUACAUCCGAUAAAAUUUACAAACCAAAGUAAAGAAAAUCUAGUCUAUAAUCAAAAGAAAAAAACUAAAAAUUGAGAUUGAGAGGAAAAGGCGAGGGCAAUUUGGUGAAAGCAAAGUAUGAAAACAAACAGUGAGAUGAUGCGAUGAACUGAGAUUUUACUUACUUGCGAAGAGAGGAGACCUAAAAAGAUUGUGUUGCGUACGAAGAGAUGAGAAAGGGGAAGAAACUUGACUUAAAUUUUAGGAUUUAAGGUAUGAAAAUUAUAAAUUGAAUAAUGAAUGUAAUAGAAAGUUUAAAUAGAAAGUUGAGAAGUAAAGGAUGUAAGAGAGUUUAAACAGAAAGUUAAGAAGUAAAGAAUCUAAAAGAGUUUGAAGAAAAGAAUUUGAAAGAGUUUAAAUAGAAAGUUGAGAAGUAAAGAAUGUAAAAAAAAUUAAAUAGAAAGUUGAGAAGAAAAGAAUUUAAAAGGGUUUAAAUACAAAGUUGAGAAGAAAAGAAUCUAAAAGAUGAAUGAACAUGCAAUUUCUUUCUUUUGCCUUUCAUUAUUUUGUCACUUUUAUUAUUAAGGAGGUUGUUAAUUUUUUUUUCUAUUGGAACUAAUAGAUAUCACUUAUUUCUUACUGAUUUUAUAAUAUCUAAAAACUCUUUCGUCCCCAAAAAAAUUAAAACAAAAAGGGCAAAUGAGUAAUUUUCUUAAUAACUUAUCUUGGAGCUAUAAUAUAUGCAUUCAUUAUAAGAAAAAUAUUUUAAAGUACCAAAAAGUACAAGAAAAUAUUUUAUAAUUAAAUUUUAUUUUUAUUUGUAUUUAUAUUAUUCAUUUAAUUUAUAAUAAAUAUGAAAUAAAAAUUUAUUUAAAAAUAAUAUAAAACUAUAUUAUUAAAAAAUUAUUAAAUAUUUUAAAAAAUACUAAAAUAAUUAGUAUAUAUUGAUUUGAAUAGAGGACUAUCCACAACAUUCCUAGACUCCCCAAAAGUAAUACGAAGGGAAGGAGGGAAUAUCAAUUGAUGUUGCCCCGGGCAAGGAAAUAUGAAUCUCGUUAACUUAUUGACACGUGUUACCCGCAUAGGGAAUGCCCACACGACGACGUUUCCCAAGGGUAAAUCUCCCGUUUGUGAGUGCUCAGAGGCCCCUCUAGAGGAAAACACAACAGUUACGUGCAUCUAAAACUUUCCAAUAAACAACAUUCCAAUUUCAUUCUCAACCCAAAUAAAAAAUUAGGGUACAAAAUAAUCAAAACUCUUUUUUGAUUUUCGAUUUCAAUACAAAUGGAACAAAUUGAAUGCGAUGAAAUGAAGGAGCCAUUGCAGAGAACCAAAGUAUUGAUUCGUCAUUUGCCUCUUUCCCUCUCUCAAAAUGACGUGUUAGCCCUUUUCCACGAUCACUUCAAUGACCGUUACAAUUGAUUCUACUUUUGCCCCAGAAAAUUUAGGUUUUUUUUAUUUUUUUUAUUUUUUAUAAUUGAUUGAUUUUUGGGCUUUUUUUUUUUGAAAUUUUACUUUAACUUGGAUUUUAGUUUUUUAACAAUUACAAGCAUCAGAGGCAUUCACAAGCAUAUGAAGAAUUGAAGAAGCAUGCGGAUGUGUUUGAGUUUGCGGAGUUGUUGAAUAUACAUCUGUUUGUUAAUGAAAAGGGUAAUUUUACUUACACUUUUGCUUUUACUUAUCAAUCGUAAUUUGGUAAGAAUGAGUUUAUGUUGUUUUAAAUCAAAAGGGCACUUUCUGUUUGGUUGAUUAUAUGUGUUAUUGGUUUCUCGAUUAGGUGCUCAGUUUAAGGCUGUUGUUGAAUAUGCUCCAUCUCAACGUGUUCCCAAGCCUUGUUCUAGAAAUGAUAGCCGUGAAGGCACCAUUUUUAAAGGUAAUUUUUUUAUUAAAAAAAAAACUUAGGGUACUUUUGAGGUUGAAAUGCUAUGACUUUUACCGUACACUUAAGCUACUAAAUUUCAAAGUUACCUUUAUUUUCUUUAUCUUCUUAUUGUUUUUAGAAGUACUGUAGCAAUAAGCUGUAUUUGGUUUUGAUGUGGACAAUAAAGACUCGGAUUAUCUGGAGUUCCUGAAGGUUAUUGCUAAACCUGCAGAGAAUCUACCAAGUUCAGAAAUUCAGUUGGAAAAAAAAAAAAGCUGAGCUAUCUGGUUAGUUAGUUAUUUUUAGAUGAAUAUAACCUGCUGUUCCUAGCGUGUGUGUGUGUGCGCGCGCGCGCGUGUGUGUAAAUGUAUGUAAUUUAAGCUAUAAAAUAAAUAAAUUCUGGCACUGUUACUGAGAUCAAUGCUCAGGUAAGUAAUUCAUUAAUUUAAGCUAUAAAUUCAGGCUUUGCUAGGAAUAUAUAUUAUUAUGAAAAGGUGAAAAAAAAAACCAACUAAUUAUCAUUUAUUACCACAUAGCUAGCAUUGAAAUAUAAAGUUCCCAAUAAAAAUUUAACUUCUCCCGUUACAUGUGACCCAUGGAAACAGUACCAUCAGCAGGAGUCAGCAAAGCUGCGGCAGCAAAUUCAAAUGUCACUGAAUUCUAACAUGUAUUUUCAAUUAUUUCAUCAACAAUUAUUUUCAUAUUAAGUGUAGUUAAUUAAUUAUUCCAAAAUAUACAAUUUCAAUAAAUUUUCAAUUGGUUAUCUCACUCUUGACUCUUCAUAUAGGCAUUUGAUGGGUGAUUCUCUGAGUUCUUUAACUGUAAAGGAGCUUAAGCAACUGGAGAACAGGCUUGAGCGAGGCAUCACUAGGAUCAGGUCCAAGAAGGUAAUUAAUUAAUUGCAUUAUGCAUACAAAAAAUAAUUGAAUUUGAGCAAUACACCAUUGUUUUGCAACAAUACAUUGCAUAAACUUUAUUUAUAUACAUUCAAUAUAUGUAAUUUAUGUCAUUUUGAAAAUAAUUUGUUGCUUUGUGCGUUUCCUGUUUUUUGCAACAGCAUGAAAUGCCUCUAGCUGAAAUUGAGUUCUUGCAGAAAGGGUAAUAAUUAAAAUUCAUUAAAUCCUGGUUAGCCUUUUUUUCGUUUUCUUCAAAGCUUUUAUGGAACUCUUUAACAUUUUCAUUUUCAUAGGAGAUUGAGCUGGAAAAUGAAAGCGUGUGUCUCCGAUCAAAGGUAUGCAAAUCAGUCCGUUGUAUGUAUAAUGCAUUUUUUCUCUCCCUCUUCCAAAAUUUCAGCACGUUAUUAAAAUUUCAUUGUUUCUGAAACUCAGAUAGCAGAAAUGGAGAGGUUUCAGCAAGCAAACACGGUGACUGGGCAAGAGCUGAAUGCAAUCCAUGCAUUAGCUUCUCGGAAUUUCUUCAGUCCUGCUAUCAUCGAGGGUGGUGGCACUGCUUACUCUCACCCGGACAAGAAGAUACUCUAUCUCGGGUAAUUAAUUCUCCCAUCACAUUUCAUUUCUACACACUCGUGUUGCGUGUGCAUCAAUGUUUUCUCCCAUUUGCAGGUAAGCUAGAUGCUGGAUAUCAUGCUUGUGGCAUCUCAGUGCGAGAUCUACAAUCAGACUACAUUAUCUACUGAAUGUGUGUGCUACUUGAUACCUAUUUUUGAAACCAGCAAUAUAUGAAACUGGAUUAGUUUAUGUGUAACCUAAUCACUUAGGCUGACUUAUCAUUGGCUUCUUCUCCUUGGGAGACCAGUUAUUAUGCUGAAACUUAAUAUCUAUAAAACUGAUGCUGUAUGAUGUCGAAGGAUUUGCAUUAUGUAUAAGGUAAAUAAAGAUUGUGUCAGAUAUGCAUAAAUAAAUAUUAUACUUGAUAAAUCUAGGCUAUGAGCUGGUUGAAGUUUGGCGUGAAUCAAAGAAGGGUCAUAGGCUUGGUGGUUUUAUUGCAAGUCUCUUGGAUAUUAGGAUUACUCUGUUGUAUGAAAGGAGUAAAUUCUAUACAAACAAACUAUUUAUACAAACUAAUAUCACAUUAGAAGAGUGAAAACAAAAAAGUUAAGGUACAAGUAAACUCAAGUGACUUGAGGAGUUUUUGGGAAAGUCAUUGAUUGUUAAAAGGGCGUAUUUUGGGUUGUAUCUGUUACAAAUGUGGAAACAAGAUAGCGUGAGGAGAAAAAGGAAUCAGAUCUCUUUGGAUUCACCGUGUAAGAAAAGAUUCUAAACGGCUCCAUAAAAGAAACUUCAUUUGAUGUCAAUUCAAUUUUUCCAUAUAAUACUAUCUUAAGACCGCACUCGAGAUUGGACUGGGAACAUUUACAUAAUAGAGGAUACAAGCUUCUUGACUGUAGUAAAACACUGAGAAUAAAUGCAGUAUUAACUUCAAAUAUUAUCUGAAAAGGUAGGGGAGACAGCAAAAAUAUACUUUAGGUGAUUUUCAUGCCAAUGGUAUAUAGUGCCAGCAGGUGAUUAGGUCAAAGAAUGGCACACCCUCCUUUUUCAGCUUGCUUACGGAGCUCCUCUGUCUCCCUCUGAGCUCUUUCAAGAUUCUCUCUAAGCUUACGAAUUUCGUCAUUCGACUUCAUUUGAGCUAAUUGUGCAACCUCUUCUGCCU
This 75223-nucleotide long non-coding RNA is filed under the name Citrus maxima (pomelo). RNAcentral describes it as "long non-coding RNA (CMAX_LNC002435)". Lineage: Eukaryota; Viridiplantae; Streptophyta; Magnoliopsida; Sapindales; Rutaceae. The record is from RNAcentral.